This 53449-nucleotide long non-coding RNA is filed under the name Coffea arabica (coffee). RNAcentral describes it as "long non-coding RNA (CARA_LNC002182)". Lineage: Eukaryota; Viridiplantae; Streptophyta; Magnoliopsida; Gentianales; Rubiaceae. The record is from RNAcentral.
CAGAGUAUUGAAUCUCCUCAAAUUGAAGAUGUCAUUUGAGAGGCAGAAGAUUGACCUAAGCAUUGCCUGUGCAAAGAGAUAAACUAUUAAGAUCUUCACGUAUGUUUAGCAACCUAACGUGAAUAUAAAUUCAAGACUUAAAUCCUUUUCUAUUGUGAACAUAGUGUUUUUGUAGGAUGGUAAUUUCUAUCGUGACACGAUAAUAUAAUUCGAGUAUAACCAAAAUUAAUAGAUUUUGACACAAUUUGAACUUUAGUAGGUCGUUAUUGAGUUAACCUAUUAGUGACACGAAUAUAAAUAAGUUGGGUUGGAUCAGCUUGCAGGCUGACACGCUAACCCAUUAAGUACUUAUUUUAUAAUACUAAUUAAACACUACAAAGGUCAUUUUGAGUAUGUAGUAAAAGCUAAUAAUGAUCAAAUGUGGCUUGAAGACUUCCGGUAGAAGUUUUAAAAACUCACAAGUUUAUAUUAUAUCAUAUAUGGAACUGUCUGACCAUGCCCCUAAAAGGUUGAUUAGAUUGCAUUUUUAAGAAACUUUUUUGGAGAAAAAUUGCUUUAGCACUUUUUAAGAUGUCAUGUAUGCGAAAUGAAGAUGAUUAAAAAAUAUGUAGAAGCAAUAUUCAUAGAAAAUGGAGAAAAAUUUCAAAAAAAAAAAAAAAAGCAAUCCAAAUAAGGUCGAAUUUGUUGCUUACAUUAUGCUUGGAAAGUUUCAUUAUCUAUUAUUUUUUGAAUGUUUUGAAAAUUUUAAAUUUUGUGUUGAUUAUAUAUUUCAAAAAAUUUAUCACGUGUUUCAACAACAACAACAUUGAAUCGAUGACAUGAUCAAAUAGGUUAAAAUAAGUAAUUAAAAUGCUAGACUAUUUUUGACAUAGGUUAGUAAGAUUAAGAUGGUAACGUAAUGUAUCAUAUAAAAAAAAAAAUUUGGUUAAAAUAAAUAAUUAGAAUGCUAGACUAUUUUUGACGUAGGUUAGUAGGUUAAUUUGGCAAAAUGACAUAUCAUAUCAAAACUAUUUUAAUCAUAUAAAGUGCUUAAUGGUUUACACGGGUUGGAUUAGAUCAAUCUCUUAAUAAACAGGCUCUGAUACGACACAACGCGAAAAUCUAGUAGAUUGAAUUAGGAUUGAAGUUUUCUAAUAUGAACACGAUAAUGACACAAUAAGUACAUGACACGACCCAUUGCUACCCUUAGGUUUUUGUGCCUAUUAGCUGCAAAUAUAUUUCAUUCGAGCCUUAGUUUCCUGGUCCAAAUUCUGUAGAAAUGAAAUUUGAAUUUGAAAUAGGUGGAUAACUAAUAAUUGCAUGUCAUACCAUCAAGUAAUGUGACAAUAAAAAGGUAGUAUGACCUAGAAUACCCAGCUCACUCCUCUUUUGCCAACAAAAUGUAGAAUUUUCAAGAAAAAGGCAGUAGGAAAGGUGGUCCAUCAAGGAUGGUCAGGAAUAUUUUGUGCUGGAAAGACAAUCUUAUACAAUUUCCAAUUGUUUUCUAUGCACCAUAAGUAACAAGUAACACUCCAAAACUUAAAAGACUAGGUUUGCAGUUUAAGUCACAAAUCGUCUCCCUAUUAAGCAGCGGAGAUGUGCUCCUAUCUAUCUCCUUGAAAUCACAGAGCCACUUGCUCCUAACCAUCUCCUUGAAAUCACAGAGCCACCCUAACCACGUCGCCAAAACAUGCAUUGAUCAUUUUCUGUUCUACAUAUUAGCCUCCGUUAAACUUGGGACUUCAAAAGGAGACAGGACUUGACACAGAAUUAAUUGACGUCACACAAAGCCUGUCAUUCAACUUAAAAUUACAGGCGUACUACUACACAAAGAUGUUUAAGUAGAGCAUAUAGGCCAUGUUACCGCUACAGUCAGCUAAAUCCUCCUACAACAGCAUCAAUUUCACCUGUCUGUAUUCACUAAACCUCGAAUGCUACCUAAAUCAGGCAAGUAGCUUUCUCAUCUUAAUACAAUACAUAAGUUCAAUAAUAAUGCUUGAUUUUAGACCAAAAAAAAAAAAGAUAGGAUGCAACAGUUGUAUUACACUUUUCCUUUCUGACAUAUUGUACCAAGUAUCCUUAUGCCUUUUCUACCACUCUUGCUGCUGCCUCAGUUCAUUGAUGAUGCUAAAAAACUUUAGAGGCUAUACCUUCAACAAAAGCCUCUUAUUCCUAAACCAAGAGAGUACGAAGGGUAAGGCAAUCCAACUAAAGUCAAGAACUCACAUAUCAGAUGCCCAUCCAUGCUAAGGGUUAUGUAUGCCUACAUGUUUUCAGAUCUAUAAAUCUAACACCACAGCUAAAUAUCUGCACAGGUUACAGAAAACAUAGCACAUUAGACUGGUCCUAGGACAGGCAAUAAUCAGUUCACAUAUCUAGAGGUAUGUUCAUGAAGACAAUCUCCAAUUAAAUUGUGCAGACACUGUUUGGUUGACUAUAGACAGUUUCCACGGAUAUGUUCCUAUAGACUACUCUUCCAAGUCUCAGACACGAAACUAAUGAUUUUCCAUUUAUCUUUUAUGCACAACCAACAAUCAUUUCAGUAGCCAUCAAUACAAGAUCCCUUGAGAACAUAACUAGUCCGAAUAAAUACAAAAAUAUCAGGUGUUCACAAAAUAGAGUUAAGGCAGAAUCUGUAGGUGGAGAAGAUCACAUUGAUGUGCUUAUAGUGGCAGUACCAAUAUGCCCCUAACCUGAUUACAUGGCAAGGAAGAGACAGCACAGAUGACACAAAACUAAGCACAUUAAACUGGUCCCACAACAGCCAAUAACCAGUUCAUAUAUCGAGAAGUAGGUUCAUGUAGAUCAUCUCCAAUUAAAUGGUGCAAACACUGUUUGGUUCAGAUAUGUUCCUAUACAAUACUCUUCUUAGACACUAAACUACUGAUUUUUAUUUUAUUUUAUUUUAUUUAUUUGUUUAUUUAUUUUUGCACUACCAAUGAUCAUUUCUUUAACCAUCAAUAUAACAUCCAUUAAAUAAUAUAACGACUCUAAAUAAACACAACAAUAUCAGGUGUUAACAAAAUGCAAUGAAGAGCAAAAUCUGUAGGUGAGGAAGAUCAGAUAUAUGUGCUCAUCGUGGCAGCACCUAUAUGCCCUUAACCUGAUUACAUGACAAGGAAGAAACAGCAUAACGAGGAAACUAACAGGAUCCAACUCAACAUACCAGGGCUACAACAAAACAUUGAACCACCCAAAUAAAAGUAACUACAUAUCAGGUGAGAAACUAUUAACACCAAAAUACAAAUUGUAUACUUGUUACUACAUUAAAACCAAUGAUAAUCUGUGUCAAGUGCAUCACAAAUUACACUACCACCACAACACUUCACAAGCACCACAAAAAAUCACAAUGCCCCUAAUUGAAAUGCCAAUUUCUAAACAUCAUACUACAUUGCUCAUCAAGGAUAGCACCCUCCAUUUCCUCUAUUUUGUUUUCCUUGUGAUUUGCCAAAAACCAAACAGGGGCUUAAAGAAUACAUGAGGCAGUCCUCUUAAAUUAGAACACAAGGAAAAUAUUAUUAGCAGGGGGUUUUUUUAACAACUUUAUUUUGUUUGUGGGUAAGGUUUUUUAUCUAAACCUGUAGAAAAGAAGUAUAAGAGUUUAAAAUUAUGCAAAUGUUUGAUGGUUCACAUGUCAUAUGUCCAAAUAUCUUGCAAGAAAAAUACAAUUUCAGAGAUUAUCUCAUGAUCUAGACUACCUGACAUUACCUUACCCCCACACACCACAACCCCCCCCCCCCCCCAAAAAAAAAUAAAAACAGCCCCCAAAAAAGAAGUAAAAUUUUCAAGAGAAAGGUUGGCUUUGUAUGGAUAGCAAAUUUUUUCCAAAAAAAUUUUCGCUUGCAUCAUAAACUCAUUUCCCAAUCCACCUUUUUAUAUUCCCAACCACCUUUUUAUCUCAUAUACAUCACAUCACAAAAUAUGCUACAGCAAUUAUUCCACAAGAUGAAUAAUACUCUACAGUAAUUAUUUGGAAUAAUACUCUAUCCAUAGUAUUCUACAAGAUGAAUUAUUCUGGCAUUCAUUAUUGUUUUCCACCUUCAUCUCUUUGAAAUGAUCCACAAUCCAAACUGAGGAAUUAUUCUAAUGAAUCCUUUUCCUUUGAUUACCACUUCACUUUUGCCAACCAAAAAGAUUUAGGGUUUUACUGCCAUUUCCUUCGUUUCUUUCCCCAAUAAUUUGCCAAGACAAACAGGGACUUAAAGCAGAAAAACUUAUAGUAUGGGAUAGUACUUGAAGAUUAGAAAACUAGGAAAAUAUUAUCAAAAGAAAACUUCAUAAAUGCUAAUCUAUCAAGAACCUUUUACGCUUUUCAAGAAAAUCUCCCAUGUAGUCCAAAGAAUGAUUUCAAGUUACAGAUCAUGAAAUGACAAACAAGUUUUUUGAUGCUAAUUGGGGCUCCACGUUGAUAUAUUUGCCAUAAAUGCAACUUGAGGUAUAAAGGUCAUAGAACAUAUUGGUGAGGAUGAAGUUCAAACUACAAAUCGGUAAGUGACAUAUCGCCCUGCUGUCUCACUUGGUCGAAUAAUUUUCACAACUUGACCACGCUUUAGCCCGUAAUAUCUGGCAAUUGGAUCAGUUAUCUGAAUCCUAGGCAACUGCAACCAAAAGUUUAACAAAGCAAGAUUUUGAGAACCAGAAUGGAAAUCAAAAAGUGUGAAGAGACGGAGAUGAUAAACAAAACAUGCAUGAUUUCUUGAUUUCUUUUUCCAACCAACAAUUUGUUAAGAUUUCUACUGAGAAAGAGAUAUAGAGGGAAAAUGGACAAGAAAGGCUUAAGAAACUACUACAGUAAAACACAGGAAAAUAUAAGUUUGGAUAGGGUAUUAUUUGAAAUAUUAUUUGGAAUAAUUACUGUAGCACUUUUUGUGAUGUGAUGUAUGUGAGAUAAAAAACUGUAUUGGAAAUUGUAAUGGUGAUGUCAGCAAAUAUAUUUGGCCAAAUAAUCUACUGUCCAAACAUGCUGCACAACAUCCUGUCUGUUCCUUCGUUGUAAUGCUAAUAUCUUAUAAACCAAGAAAUCUUUUUGCCCUCCAAGGGAAAGAAAAAUUCAAGUUCCUAAGAGGUCAAGGAACAUGGUCUAUCAGCUUAUGUCAACAGCAGAACUUCAAGCACGCAUACAUGCAGAUGGAUCUGUAUGACUGCUGAAUUUCCACCUAUAUUAACUAUACACCUUACUACUGCUAGAGACAAAAGUAGUGAUAAAGAAACACCAAUUGCACAAAGACAGAAACCACCAACAUUCUAACCUGCGUCUCUUUCACAGUAUAUCUUUCCAGCAGAGUUUUCUUCUCUUCUGGGGUUAGCAGCUGGUGCUCAGGAACAAGAACAUGAUUUUUUAUGUUGACUAACAACUCUGCUUCCUGUUUUGUGGUAAACAUAAGGCAAUUAUUAAACAUCCUUCGCAUGAAUAUGCACAUAAAUAUACUCGAACACACUGCCAGUAAAUCAAAGAAACUAAUGGAAUUGAAUACCAAAAUAAUACAUGGUCACAUAGCAUAAACCAGUCCAUUCAAAAUAUUAAAAUCUGAAACCAGACAAGUUAUUGUAACAUAGAGAGCUGAAAGAGAGAAUCCCUAUGCUGAUUUUUCCAGACAAAUUGAGCUGUGAACUUGCAUCAGACUUCUGAAAUGUAUAAUGUCCUAGUUGGAUAGAAUAAAUUAUGACAAAACAGAGGGUUAAUUUGUUUCAUUUUCUAGAUUAGGAGGAAGCAUCAUUUUUUAAAGAGUUACACAUUACAAAAAAUACGGCCAAACAAAAAGAUGACAUUUGAUUUGCAAAUUCAACUGUUUCAUUGAAUGCACAAAUUGUUACCUGAAAAACCUCCAAGUGGAACUUUGUAGAUAUUUCACUGAUGCAGGUUCUUGCAAAUGGCGUCAAAUUCUGCUGGACAACCAAGAUUGCUCGAAAAACAUUGUCAUUCUUCAUACGAUUUGUGUAAGUCUUCAUUGUUUUAACACCAACUUUCGGUUCCUCCGGGAAAAAAACAUAUAUCUGGAUCACAACAUCCAAACAUAAGUGAACAAAUAAAAAACAACACAUAGGCAUAAUAAAGCAUUUCAAAGUACAUGAUUUGCACUAACAAAAUCACAUUACGUCACUUGGUUUGACAGUAUGAUAGAGAUAAGUGGCAAAAAUCCACUAAGGUUUAUAGAAGGCGUGGGAAGGCAACUACGAGGUGCACCAUACAAAUGCAAGAAUAAACUGAAAUUGAACCAUAACAAUGCAACAAUAAACUGGAAGCAAAAAAAAGGAACUUAAUUUACUGAAUAAACUAACCCCUGACCAAGAAGAACCCUAAUUAUAGAACAUAUCAGCCAGCCUCCGGUCAAAAAAUACAACAACUAUUGAAAAUGAAAAUUUUCCUUGAAUGAACUAAACUAAACCCAUUCAAAAAAAAAAAAAAAAAAACCUGAUCAGAGCUGUCAUUGCGCUUGGAUUUGUUAAUGACAAGGUCUUCUCUUUUCAUAUUUUCUCCAUAUUUUUGUAUAAAUUCCCUUUUCUCCAUCUGUAUCUCCUUAUCUGUCACAAAAUAACCCCUGUCCUGAAGCAUUUCCAUCACCGUCUUUCUGAUUCUGUGCAAUCUGGCGACUUCUUCAUCCGACAGCGUCAUCUUUCCUGUUACUCUUCAAUCAAUUAACCAAACAACCUAAAAAAUUCAGAAAGGAAAACGAACCCAAGAAAAGAAACCCUUUCAAGCAUGUAUUAAACAAUUAUCUGAAGAAUUAAAUUUCGGAAAUUCAAGAUAAUUGUUUGGCAAUAUUCUUUGGCAAAUCUGGAAAAGCAGAAAUUGAAUGUGUUUGAUAUUUAGUGGAAGGAGGAUCUGAAAAACAACAAGAAACUUACUCGGUCCGGAUUUGGUUGAUUGAAGAGUGUGUUUGACCCGUGAGUGGGAGGAGGCGGCGUGCAUCGCGACUGCCGUGGGGAGGAAUUUGUGAUUAUUGCGCGAGCGCGGGGUCGCCGCCGGUGAUAAGCGGCCGGUCUCAGUGCAUGUCAGGCCUCGCGUAGGGUUAUGCGGUAAGGCGUCUGUGGAAAUUACAAGAAGCUAUACGCCAAAAAGAGGGGGGGGGGGGGUUACAAAUUCAAUAAUUCGUUAGCUGAAUUCGUUGAAUUCGAUUAGCCGAAUUCGUCAUUUGACUUAUAGAAAUUUAAAUCGCUUUUAAUUUCGAAUUGGUUAUAAUCGAAUUCAUUUCGCAAUCGAAUUCAAAUUCGAAAAUGGUAACUGAAUUCAUUUAUAAAAAAAAAAUAAAAAUUGGGGCUCCUAAAUGAUAAGUGAUAACCUCAUAACGUGAAUUUUUCCAAAUUCACCUGAACUGAAGGAAGUGAUUGUGUAAUUUUUAAUUUAUAAAUUGGGGCUCCUAAAUUAUAAUACAUUCAUUAUGCUCCUCAAUGAUUUAAAAUAAUUACUGAUUUGAUCCCCAAAUUUAUUCAUAAUUUAACACAUUAUUUAUGUUCUAAUCAUUUUGUAGUUUAAUUGGCAUUUAUUGAUCACUUAUACCUAGAAUCCUUAGUCUAUGAUUUAAGGAACACAUGAAAAGUGAUUAAUUUAAACUAGAAUAAACUUUAGACAUAAAAAGUGAUUAAUUUAAACUAGAAUAAACUUUAGAUUGUACAAUGAUUAGUGAUAAUUUAUGAAUUUAUGAAUUUAUAAUGAUUAAUAAUAAGCAAUAUUAGUCACAAACUUGCAAAUUACAAUGAUAAGUUAUAAGUUAUAUUAGUUACAAACUUAUAAUUUAUUUCAAAUCAAAAUAAAACUUAUUUACUUACAUAUGUUAUUGUGAAAAUCAAUACACUAAUACAUUGAUUUGCAAUUCAUAUGCAUUCACUUACAUUGCUUAGUUGUCUUGUCUAUACUUAAAGCCUUAAGAUUAGUGAAUAGAGAAUAUGAAUUUUUAUGUUAAAUAUGUAAUGUAAAUUUAGAGCACAUUAAUACUUGCAAGUUACAGGUUACGCAUUCAAAUAUUCAAUAAUUCAAACAUGAAUGAUGUAUCAAAUUACCAAUAUCUAAAUUCUAAUUACUAUUAUGUUUAUUGUUUAAUAUUUAGUAUUAUACAUAUAUGUAUUAAUUAUUAUCUAAUUCUAGUCAUGUUACUCAUGUAUAAAAUAAUAAGUAUUAUAGUUAUGUUAUAUUGUUAUGUAUUACUAUAUAUUUGUGUUAUUAUAGUGAUAUAAUAAUUAACAAAUACUAAAAUAAUAUAUUGUACAUUAUUAUAUAUUAUUAUUAUCACAAGUGUAUGAUAAUACCAUAUACUAACUAUUAUUAAUAGCAUUUACCUAUAUAAUAUAAUAUAAUAAUAUAUUAGUAGUAUAUACUAAUACUAAAUAGCAUUUAUCUAUAUAUUAUAUAAUUUUAUAAACUAAUUUGGUAUUCGAAUGCGAUAAUGCAGUACCUUAUUUCAUUUUACCGAAUUUGAAUGCGAAAUCGGUUAUUACCAAAUUCAUAAUCUCAUUACCUAUUUCAUACCAUAUUAGAAUUCGGUGAAUUCGGUACGUACCGAAUUUGUAUCGAAUUACCAAAUACCCGAUUUCAAAUUACCAAAUUGAAUUUGAAUUCGGUAUGCACCAAAUUUGCUUACCCCUACUGAUCAGAUACCCUGAAAUUUCAUAGAUUUGUUGAUUGGGGUGAAAAUGAUAAUUACUUUUCAUAGUUACAAGCUUUGAUUAGUUCUUCCUACUGUAAUAAUUUUCAAUUUUUCAUACUCUAUUUUUUUGUUGGAGUUUGUGUUCUACAAAAGACUUCUUAUUAUUUCCUUCUGUUAUUUUGUUUUUCUUGCUUUUUUAAACUAAUUUUCUUUGUCUUUUCUUAAAAUCUGUUUCCUAAAUUAUUACCCUUUAAAUAAAAUUCCUCACCCACAACCUUGUUUUAGUUGAUUAAUGUAUUACAAUCCCACAAAAAAUAGGGACAAUUCCUACCCAAGUAAAGAUCUUUUCAGUCACUACCUUUGUUAAUACUAUUAUAUCUGAAUUAUUACUUAUUAUUUAUUGGCAUAUUCAAAUAUUUUAUAGUCUCUUUUUCCCCUGGUUAUCCCAAGUAUGGGUACUUUUGGACAUAAGAUUGACUUAGAGGCCUUUAAGAAUUAAUUUGUUAUUUCAGUAUAAUAGUAUUGAAACAUAAGUAGAAGAAACUUUAAACAAGUUUUUUAUGUUGGAUUAUAAUAAAUUAAUGCAACAUAAAAUCAUAGAUAUCAGGAUGAGGCAAAUUGAUGAAGAAAAUUUACAUCAACUAAAAUACUUACUUGGUUGAUGGACUUUUAUAUAAUGAUUGGAUUGAUGAACUUUGUACAAUGGUUAAAGAUUUGGAAUAUGCUAAUUGAUGGUUCUAAUAUGAAACAAAAAGAAGGAACAAGAAAAUAAAUUUCUAGUUAAUAAUAAAGUGGUUUGGAUUAUUGUUUGGAAUCUAUUCUUGUAAUUGUCGUUUUCAGAGUGCAUGCUUGAAUUUGGAGGCAGACGCGAGUUUUUCUUUCUCUGCAGGACUUAUUCAUUUCUACUGCAUAUUCCUUCAUCUCUGCCAAUAUUCUUUGGCAAAUCUGGAAAAGCAGAAAUGAGAAAGAAUUCAAUAGGAAAUAGCAACUCUCAAUGAUAACAAUUCAGAAAGCUCAGGAGGAGUGGCUGGAAUUCAAGCAAGCCACAGAAAAGACACUAAGAAUGAGUACAGAAGAAACAGGAACUCAGGAGACAUUCUUACAGCAACAUGAAGAGAAUGAAGACUCAAUGAGACUGAGGCUGGCUAUAAAAAAGCUGAAGGACAAUCCCCAAAUAGGAAUAGGGAUCACAGUUUCUGUAAACAGCCAAGAACUGUGAGAACUUGAAAAAUAAAAUAAAAUAAAAUAAUAGUAAAUAAAUAUAUAUUUACAUAUAUUCAUACUUGUUGCUUGUACAUUUUAGACUUUGAAUAAAUUUUAUUAUUGUUGGUUCUUAGAUAAGUGUGAAAAAAUAAGUUUAAAGUCGCAAAUAAGUUAAUUGUGCAAAAUAUUGAAUUAUUUGAAUUCUUGCCAAGUUAAGUUACUACUUCUUGAUGUGGGUUAUUUUAUUUCUUUGGUUUUGAUUCUUUGAAUGUCGAUAGCUAAUUUUAAGUGUUAUUAAUGUUAAGUAUCAACGGGGACCUAGAAUUAAAAAGAAAACGUUUUAGGUUAAAACCUUUAUAAUUAUUCUCAGGACGACGAAAUCUCGAUAGUUGAAUUUUUUGCGACACUAGUAUGUUAGUGGGCUAUCAAAUUUCUUUUAGGAUGAAAUCUUGGAGUUAGUUUAUGAAUGAGAGCUUAAGUGGAAAUUCGGCUGAAAUGUGAAAGACCAAAUUGGCCCUCCACCAUCUCGGAUUUACCAUGCAACCACCAAAGCUUCAUUGGCCAACUUUAAAACACAAACAUUUUCAUCUCUGCCGGAUUGCAUUUCAUUCUCCACUCACACACUUCAUCUCCUUCAUCCGCGAUUUAUCUCUCCAUUUCAGUAACUCCAACACCCCACAACACCAUUUCAUUUCACUCCAUUCCUUGCCUUGGUAUCAUCGACGAGAGGAAACCAGAGAGAGCUGUGCUAGUUGCGAACCUUGAACUGUCCGAGAGAGGGUGAGAGCAAGAGAUAACCGUGCGAGCUUCAUUACUUCCUCCAUCACCACUGAGAGCUGCUAUUUCAUUCUUCACCCUCAACCAGCCGUGCCCAAUUCAGAGAGGAGAGGAAAAAAAAACAAAUUUCAGCUUUCUGGUCGCGUGAGUGAGCUUCAUUUGAGGUAAUUUCUGAACUGAAAUUAGCUGAUUAUAGGCAUAUGAGGUUAGCUAUGGACUUGCAUGUGAUGCUUGUGCGUCCGGAUGUUGAAUUGUAGCAUAGGAAAAUCUGAUGUGAAGGAAAAAUGGGUUGGCCGAGAGAUUUAAUUGGAUAAUGCAGCUGAAAUUUGUUCGAUCGUGAUAAUCUGAGCCUAGAUAGGUGAUUAGCUAACUAGAAACUAGAUGAUUAUGCUAUGCAUGAGGUUAAUCAGUUCGGAUUAAGCAAGGAAAAAAAAUGAAACAAAAAUCUGCUGCAUGCAAGUCACCCGGAAAUAGUUGAACAUUUGAUUAGUUUUCUUCGAAUCUGUAGCUGAGAUUUUCAUAUUGGGUGUUUAAGAUUUGCUUGUAGCUUGCUAAUCACCUUUCGCAUGUUGAGUUGGAGUAAAAAUUGAAGGGAUAUAAAAUCUGUUUACAUGCAAGUCAACCGAGAGGAUUGGAUGAAUUUCUGGUUGGGUGGUGACUUUUGAUGACUUCCGAACUUGGUUUUGGAUUAAAUCUGAUAGAUAGCUGUUCAUUUAGUUAUACAUGUAGCUGAUUUACGGGCUGCAUGUUGGGUUUUAGCCUUGAAUAAUAAUAUUUGGCUGAAGGGAAUUUUGAUAAGAAAAAAUAUGGGAGCUGGACCAAAGAUGAAGAACCGAGAGUUUACCUGUUUGUCUAGCAGCUUGUGAUUCCAGUAAAAUGGAAAUUUAUGUUUGGUAAUGCAUGUAAUUUGUUAGCUUUAUGUGUUAAGUGAAGUUUGGUUGAAGAAACUAAGGGAAAAGUUGGAAUUUUGGGUGAGACCGUGGGAGGAGUUUUGCUGGAAUUUUUCUUGACUAUCGAAACAAGAAAAGAAAAUAUGAAUUUCUAGAGUUAUUUGUGUGUAAGCUAGCCGUGACUUUCUUUUAUGUUUGAGUUAAAUUUUUGGAUGAUUACUGUAAGGAAUGAUUGGUUGUUGUCAAGAGCUAAUGAUUGAUGAAACUCUUGGCUAUUUGAGUAAUUUUUGCAAGAGUUUAAUUUUGGUGAAUUUGUUCAAGAAGUUGGCUGAAAUGUACUUGGAAGGUCCAUGGUUUGUGAUUUGAGAUUAUUUUGAUACCUUGGACUUCCUUUGUUGAAUUUUGUUUGGAAUUGAAUCUGUUGAGACCUAGGGCUAAUGAUUGAUGAAGCCCUAGUAAAAUUGAUGUUUGGUUUGUGAUUUUUCUAUAUUGGUGACUUGGAAUUCAAAGUGCAAAUGAGUGGAAUCGUGAAGUCCGUUUUGGUCUUUUGAAUUAGAGUACUUUUAAGUCAAGCUUUAUGAAAAUAUUUUGUCUUAAUAUCAAGUUAUAUAAAUGGAGUAUAGUACGUUAAUAUUAAAAUUUAAAUGUCGGGACUUUUAAAACCUUGCUAACUAGUUAAUUCUUUUCUUUGCUUAAAUUAGUUUUAUUACCUUUAAGAAAUAAUUGCAUUAACUUCCAAACUUUAAGUUUUAUAAAAAAUUAUCCUUGGCUAGUUAUUUUAAAGGAAAAUUUGUUAAAAACUCUAGAUUUGAACAAUUUCAAAUAAAAGGGCAUAGAAAACUCGUUUGAAUUAGUUUGGUUCUAGUUUGCCCUCUAGAAAAAAAAAAAGUAGCUUUAAAGAAACCAUACGAAAUAUCUUAUCACUUGUACUAGCUUUAAUUCUAAGAGAUUUAUUGAUUUAUUUCGAGUAAAUAAAUUAGUUUUAUACCAGAUAGUCUUUUAUAUAUAAACCAAAGGUUUGUUUAGUAAAAUUUAUAGUUUUUAAAACUUGGAUUUCUAGGGUUUAGCGAGGACGUGGACUUCGAUUCCCAGCUUGACUUGUGAGCUUCACUUUUGGUGAGUGUCUAUGCUUGUUCUAUGACUAAUUUGUUAAAGUGCUUUCUUGAUUCGUUAUGUGAUAGUUGGAAAGUGAUUUUCCUGAUCCAUCGAAGUGGGUAGUGUGUACUUUAUCGCACUAGCCCUUUCGAGUGGUGACUUGCUUGAAACGUUUUCUCGAAUGUCUCGCUUGUACUUGCUAUGUAUUGAGUAGGGAAAUGUACCACACCUUAGGGUGGGAGGGCCUCUUAUCCUAUCUCAAGUACUAAAACCUUGCAAUUGUUGACUGGAGCGUAGACUCAUCAACUAAUCCACUGGGCAGGGGAAUGUACCACACCUUAGGGUGAGAGGGCCUCUUAUCCUGACCUGGUAACCACUUGUUGUGACGUCAUUGGGUGAAUCUCUCGAUUAGUUUAUAAAAAGGUAUACUCGAGUAAUACCAAACUCUCUUAUGAGGUGUGCGGGCCCGGUGUGGGAAUAAGUUGGUUGGAGCGUGUUAAGAAAAAAAAAUAAUGAAUCUACAUGGACUUUAGAUAGUGAAAGUUGACGGAGGGUCAACUGCAGUUAAUUUUGAUCAAGCUAGUGGAAAAAUGGCUCCUGAGAGCCCCUGUAUCCUACCCUGUGCUGUUAUACGCUUUCCUACUUGUUGAAUUUAAGUUUGGAGUUAUUAUUUGCUAUUUGUUUUAUAUAAUUGUAUGUUUGGGGCACCACUGAGAUUUAGCUCACCCCACGAUAUUUGUUUUUCUUUAACAGGUUUUGGCAUUCGAGAGAUUUAAAGUCUGCUUUUAGCUUUUGUAAAUGUUAUUUUGAACCGGACUAUGUAUCUUUUAUUUUGGAUUGCCACUUGAAGCUGGAAAAGUGCAAACCCCUGAGUUUUGCUUGUAUGAAUGUGUUUAAAUUUUAUGAUUUCACUAUAUGGUUUGUAAUGUAUAAAGGUAGUUAUGUGUUACGCUGGUUGGAGUUGUAUCUUAAGAGUGAAUGUUCAGAUGCCGUUGGCAAUGUUAUCUCUAAAGGUAAUGUGUUAUCAGUUGUCUGGUCGAUUAAAGGUUUGGAUUGUCCGGGUGAUGAGUUUUGUUUUGGUUUAAGUCAUUCGUGAAAGGGGUUUAAUCAGUUUUCCUUGCGUGAGUCCUGCGAGAGUUGGGCAGGCGACCCGCCAACCCUCUAGUUCACCUUAGGGAGAAGUGGGGCCGCCACAAGAACAUGUUCGAGGUUGGGCACUGCAUAAGAGAAGCACAGGAAACCAGCUCAUUGAUGAACUAGCAGCUGUCAAACUCCUAAUGAGCAAAGCUGUAGUGCAGGAGUGGGGGAAAAUUGAGGUUCAACUCGAUAACAAACAAAUGUUCAAUCUCAUACUGCAUAGCAAAACUCAGGAUAUACGUUUGGCAACUUUGCUGGAGGAUAUCUAUAAUUUGAAGUCUAUGUUUUGCAUGUGCUCCUUUUGUUUAGUUAGUAAAGAUCAUAAUCAUGUUAGUGAUAGGAUUAGCGCUUAUGCGUUAAGCAUCGUUCAAGAUGAGGAACUUUGGUUUUCUUAGUGUCAUAGUGCACUGGUUGUAUAGUGUUUAUCGAGCCUUUGUUUGAUCUUAUAAAGUUUAAGUUAAUCUAUAAAAUCACUUAUCAUUUCGGGAGAAAAAAAAAAGAAAAAAUCAAUUGACUAAAUUCAAAAGUCUGCAACAUGUAUUCUCAAAUUCAGGCUACUUCCCAUAACAAAAGACUGAAAAAAAUAACAAAAUUAGUUGUAUAAGCAGAAUUAUACUAAGCAGGAUGUGUGUAUUUUUACCCCUUACUAGCAUAUAAUUAAACCAACAAUCUCUACUUUUACCACUAAGCUUCUUACCAAAAGGUACAUAGCUUACGCAAGGCUAAACACCAUUGACGCUAAUUAAGUAAAACCAAAUCCUAUCACUAAAAUAGUCUUAACAAAAUUGAAAAUACUCGCAUGGUAAGAUCAAAUCAAGUGAAAAUGAGCUGGAUGUCGCAUAGUCACCUAAAAAAAUUCAGAAUUUCAAGAAUUCCAUCUGAAAAUUAGCGAUUUCGUGCUUCUUUACAGUAUAUGCCUCGUAAUGGAACCCUAAUUUUGCAGAAAACUACAGGAUAGCUGCAGAUCGAUACCAGUAAAAAACAACAAAAUACUUACUCGAUUGGGUUAAUUGAAUGUGUUUUAUAUUUAGUGGGAGGAGGAUGUGAAAAACAACAAGAUACUUACUCGGUUUGGAUUCGGUUUAUUGAAGAGUGUGUUUGACCUUGAGUAGGAGGAGGCUGGUGCAUGGGAGAGGAAUUUGUGAUAUUGCUGCCUUAGUGCAUCAGGUGCAUAGGGUUAUGCGGUAAGGCGUCUGUGUGUGCUGUUUGGCUGUGGAAAUUACAAGUAGCUAUAUGUCAAAAAGGUGUAAUUACCCUGAAAUUUCACGGAUUUGUUGAUAGGGGUGAAAACGAUAAUUACUUUUCACAGUUACUGGCUUUGAUUAGUUCUUCAUACUGUAAUAAUUUUCAAUUUUUCAUACUCUAUUUUUUUGUUGGAGUUUGUGUUCUACAAAAGACUUCUUAUUAUUUCCUUUUGUUAUUUUGUUUUUCUUGCUUUUUAAAACUAAUUUUCUUUGUCUUUUCUUAAAAUUUGUUUCCUAAAUUAUUACCCUUUAAAUAAAAUUCCUCACCUACAACCUUGUUUUAGUUGAUUAAUGUAUUACAAUCCAACAAAAAGUAGGGACAAUUCCUACCCAAGUAAAGAUCUUUUCAAUCACUACCUUUGUUAAUACUAUUAUAUCUGAAUUAUUACUUAUUAUUUAUCGGCAUAUUCAAAUAUUUUAUAGUUUCUUUUUCCCCUGAUUAUCCCAAGUAUGGGUACUUUUGGACAUAAGAUUGACUUAGAGGCCUUUAAGAAUUAAUUUGUAAUUUCAGUAUAAUAGUAUUGAAACAUAAGUAGAAGAAACUUUAAACAAGUUUUUUAUGUUGGAUUAUAAUAAAUUAAUGCAACAUAAAAUCAUAGAUAUCAGGAUGAGGCAAAUUGAUGAAGAAAAUUUACAUCAACUAAAAUACUUACUUGGUUGAUGGACUUUUAUAUAAUGAUUGGAUUGAUAAACUUUGUACAAGGGCUAAAGAUUUGGAAUAUGCUAAUUGAUGGUUCUAAUAUGAAACAAAAAAAAGGAACAAGAAAAUAAAUUUCUAGUUAAUAAUCCAAAAGUGGUUUGGAUUAUUGUCUGGAGUCUAUUCUUGUAAUUGCCGUUUUCACAGUGCAUGCUUGAAUUUAGAGACAGACGUGAGUUUUUCUUUCUCUGCAGGACUUAUUCAUUUCUACUGCAUAUUCCUUCAUCUCUGCCACAGAUUCCUCCUUUUAUAGUUGUUUGGAUUAUUGCUACUACAGUGUUUUCUUGAUGGGCAUCAAAACUGUUAAUUGUUCUCGAUUCAUCUUGAUAGAUAUCCGAUACUUUUAGUUGUGGGUUGAUUCAUUUUGAAUUCUUGAUAGAACUUGGCAGUUGGCAUAGUAUCCAAUGAAAGUGCUUCAAAGCUAUUGGCAUUUGGCAUAGUAUCCGAUGAAAGUGUUUCAAAGCUAUUGGUGCGGUGGCUUGAUAUUACAUCUUGUUUUGGCCGUCCCGUUGAUUGUGACCUGUUUUCCAUUUGUCUUGGCUGACAAAGUGAUUGACCAUCUUAUAUUCUAAUAAUUGAUUGGUUAAUUAUUUUAGUCUCUUUUUUUAAUAUUCUAACAUAUUUUUUAGAUUAUGCAUUCCUUCAUCAUCCAUGGUGUUUUUUAAUCCUUCGUCUCCAUCAUCUUCUUUAUUUAUGUACAGAUCUUGGAUUUCCUGACAAAUUUUCCUUAUGUGUAAUUCCACUAAUUCUUUUAACUAUGUUAUGAUGCGGCUUAGGUUUUUAAGUUAUAAAGUCCUAAUUAUCAAUUCAAUUAGACCCAAUUACCUUGAUUUUUCACAAGUAUACGGUCAAACGAGUAUAGUGAUAAUUAUGAUCGAUCCCAUAAGGAAGAUUGUCAACUAUCGAUGGUUUUCAAACUCCUUUAUUAUUUAGACCAUCACAAGUAAAGCAAUUAAAUCUAUACUUUUAAUAUAAAAUAGUAAAAACAAUAACAAAGAGGCUCUUAGGGUUGUGGAUUUACUAACUAUUCUUGUAAAUGAAAUUACCAAUUAAAUGAGUUCAUCUACCUUGGUAAGUUAUGGCGUAAUUUUCAAAUGUACGCAAUGUAUGCUUUCGCAAGUAUACGAACCAUACCUAUAACUACUUAACACUUAUUAACGUGACAUGAAACUACUUAUAGAUUCAUUAAAUUCUAUGAAAUUACAUAGAACAAACCACGAAGGUUACAAAGGUGUAACCUUACAUUAGUGAGUUAACUCCCUAGUUUAGCACCUCCAUGAGCUAUUAGUGUUAAGUCACAAUGGUCGUUGAUGAAAUAACACCUUUAGAUAAUCACAAUUAAUAGUACCGAAUUAAUCAUGAUUGUAAUAAGAAAAGUGCAAAAUAACAUGCCCAAGAAUCAUAGAAGUUCAUCCUUCCCUACGUUUAAAAACUAGCAAGACACAGGAAGCACAAAUAGAACCAAACUUGUAUUUUCACUAAACAUGAAAUCAAUAAAAGAAAUAAAGUUAUAGAAGAGAUGUCACCAAUGUCACUUGAGUUCCAAUCUACUCUCUUGUUUAGCCAGAUACAAAGAUUGAAUAGCUACACUAAUCUAUUUAACUAAAAUAAUGAACUAAAAAAACUUAGUGAAGACUAAAUUUUUGUGAUAAUCCUAGCCUUCUAAAGUUAUCAAACAAGGUCAACGAAGUCCCUAUUUAUAGAGAAUUAAAGGUCCAAGCAAUCAUGUUUCAAGUUGGCAAUUUGUGUCUUGAAAUCACCAAAAGGUGUUUCUUGAAAACUUUAUGCUUUCUUAUGCAUAUCUAGUCGAAAUUCUUGCAGAAAAAUUGGUUAAAAACUUCCGUGAAAUGUCUAUGACAGGUCGUCAGCCUGUGCAAUAAUAAAAACCUGCUCAGCUAAAGUUAAUUUCUGUAGAUAGUGGUAAGCAGGGUCGAAUCCACAGGGACUGGGCGUAAUUAUUUCUUUUCAAGUUCACAGUGAUAAGGGGGUGUUUUUGUGCAGAAUGUGACAAUAAAAGAAAUUCAACUAAAAUCUAAAAAGCUACUAAAAAUUAAAUAACAAAUUACUAAAAUCAAAUGAGUGAUAAUUAAGGAUCUAGCCAAGGAAUAACUUCAGCAAUGGUGCACCUAAUUGAUCAUCGAAGCAAAGGCAAUCCCAAUUAUUUAUCAAUAAAUAGGUUAUAACUACCAAACAAGCGAUGGCAGUCAACCCCUCCUUACUGUGUCGGUGAUCAAGGUACGCCCGUUAAUCACUGCUCUAAUUGAGAAAUAAUCUUAGGUACGCCCGUAGGAUUUAAUUCCCCAAUUGCCUUACGUAUUAGAGGAGCCCUAUUCUAACCAAAUAACGCACUACCAGGGUUAUUUUAGAUUAGCCUGCGUACUCCCCUGACACAAACCUAAUCAUGCUAGUUGCCACUAUUUUAGAGCAAUUAAACAAUUACGGAUUUAAUGCCCUAAUUGACAAUAGAUUACCCAAUCAACUAAUUAUCCGGAUCCAAGACAAUCAAUUAAUUAAACAACCAUAAACAUAGCAACCAAGAAAUAUGCGGAUACCACUAAAUAAAAGGAAAAGAUUAAAUUAAAACGAUCUCAUAAUUUUAGGCGACCCAAAGCAUCCGUUGCUCCUUGACUAGAAUGGUGAAAUUAGUUCAUAAUUGAUGCACGAAACCCACCGAAAAUUGAAGAAAGAACUGCAGCCAUCAAGGGUGAUAAAUUCACUUCGUUCAAAUUACCAAUGAAAAACAAGCUACAAGAAGUAAAUUCUGGCCUCCACUUUGCCUACACAUACGGAGGAAGAGAAAGCCACUAAGUGCUGAAGAGUAGAAAAGUCAAAGGAACCACUCCUAAGUGCUAUGCGCAGGAGGAAUCCACUAGGAAUCAAAAGGGAAAGUCCAAAGAAAAGCUAAGCUAAAGGUCCUAAUUAUGAAGAAGGAAAAGCUACUGAAGAAACAAAAGAAAAGUCAAAGCUAAAGAAACAAUCCAGUCGUCCGUCCUCUCUGCUGCGCAAUUCCUAUUCUAAUGGUCUUCCCUUGUGCGGCGGCUCUCUCCCGAGAGGGAGAAGAAGAAGACACCUGACUUCAGCCCUUCGUUCCUCCUUUUAAUGCUUUUGUCUUCGGCAAUUACUAAAAUGGGCACAAGUUUGCCUUUGCCAACAAUGCCCCCGAGAUAAGCUCUGUGCCUUAGACUCCUUUUCUGUCAAAUUGACACUUAUUAUCAUAUUUUCGUUCUACUCCCCUGAAAUAUAUGCCAAACACUAAAAAUGAGUAGAAUCCAGCAAUUAAUCCACAUCAGGUCAGGUAAUAGGGAAAAUUAAUAAUAAAAUAAAUGAUAAAAUUACACCCUAUCAGUCUAUGACUUGCUCUACAAAUUGCAGAGCCGAAUUCAGGAUCCGCUAGUUUAACCUCGUGGAUCUUGUCAUUUUGCAAUUUUGCUCAAUCUUCAAUAUUGCUCUGCUAGAGUGAGUUCAAGUACAAUUGAUUUUAGUCAAUUACUUGAAUUUCUACAAAAAAAAUCAUAUAAAUUGCACAUUAAAUUGCUCAAAUAAGUUGAGAUUCUCUCCCUGAUGGGCUUUAGCCUCCCCCUCCCUCUCUUUUGAGCUUCGAAUUUUAGGGUUGUUGCACCCAUGGCCGUAAUGGUAGCCCUUCAGCCACGAGCUGGAAGGCUUGCAUCCCCAUCAAAAAAUUCAUUCACUAAUAUUCUCCAACAGUACCCUCGGCUAACAUUAGCAACAAAUCCCGCGAACGGCUGCUCUUUCACUUCGAACUAGCCUACGAUUAUGAGGAAUGCUACUACCUAUAAGGGUAAGCCUAUCAUUUUCUUUUUAGAAGAAGAUGUUCAAGCAUUGUCUAGUCCCUUUAGAUAUGUGCUAAUAGGGAAAUUUUCCAAUGGAAGGUGAAAUAUGGAGUCGUUGCGAAAGGAAUUUAAGGCCAUCGGAUUCAAGGGUGAUCACUUCAUUGGCUUACUUGAUUCUUGGCAUAUUUUAAUAUGGUUUGACUGUGAAGAGGAUUACCUCCACUACUAGUUGUGUGGAGUAUGGAUGUUCCAUGGGUUCUCAAUGUGGGUUUUCAAGUGGACUCUUUCCUUCUCUGUUGAUACUGAAUCGCCAAUAGUCCCAAUCUAAGUUUCGCUGCCACACUUGCCCGUGCACUUCUUUAGCAAAUGGUUGCACCUCUCAAUUGCCCGACUUAUUGGGGAACCCCUAAAGGUCGGUGUGUCAACAACGUCUCUAACCAGACCAGGGUAGCAAGGUUUUGUGUCGAAGUUAACCUUCAGUAGAAGCUACCUGACAAAGUUUGGAUUGGUAAUGGACAAGCUAGGUUUUGGCAACAUAUUAAGUAUGAAAAUCUCCCAGACUUCUGUUUGUUUUGCCAUAAGCUAGGCCACAAAGAGGCCAAUUGCGGUCAUGAUCCGGGCAAUCCCCAAGAGUAGGCACAGUGUGAUGCAACAGUUCAGAGACUUGAAAAAUAGAAGAUUUAGAUACCAAAAUCUCAAAUUAAUCAACAAGGGUCUAAGUCGGGUACUUCAGGACUUCUGAAUCACCAGGAAAUUACAGAUCAAGUGCUACUGAAUGAGAAUGCGAAGGGAGCUUUAAAUAUUAACCAUGCAAGUAUAUUGGUACCGUAAACCAGAAUGGUUUCUGUUAUGCAGGACACGGAAAAUCAAGAGCUGGGUCUCACCAAUGACGAAUUUAAUAUAUCAGGCCCGGAGAAUCAGAGGCGUGUUAAUGGAAGUCAGGAUUGUGGGCAGAUUGGGAGUUUGAUUAUUUUAGAAUCCAAUAAUCUGGCAAAAGGAAUUCUCGAUGACAAGCACCAUAUGCCGAAGCAACGAGGCCAAUUAGAAUCUCACACGGACACGAAUGAACCACAACCUGAUCACCCAAGCAGCUUUGUGAUGGAGGAUUUUUAUACGUUCAACAAGUAGAUUGAUCACUUUUUUCCUAUCCCACAUAAUGAUGCCACUGCUAAGCAAUGUAGGAAGUGGAGAUUUCUAAAUUUGCCUAAGACAGUUGUCACUAGACAGUCUAUGAAGGCAAUUUCCUCUAGUUCUUUUCCUUCUAUUUCCAGUGAUUAAUACAUUCAUAUGGAACAUAAGGGGAGUGGCUAGAAGAGCUUCGGUCAGGCGAUUGAAGAAGUUAAUACGAAUGCAUUCAAUCUCGUUCCGAGUAAUUUUAGAAUCGAUGCUAGAUUCUUCUCAACUUGAUGCAGUUAGAAUAAAAUUUGAAUUUCACCUUACUGUUUGUAAUGUUGUUAAUAAAAUCUGGAUUUUAUGGAAGCCGGAAUUUGCAGUUAAUGUCUUAGCUAAUUCGGAGCAAUUCAUUCACUUUGCUGUCACACAUGUGUCAUGAAGUAAUGAGAUUUGCUAUUCUUUUGUUUAUGCUAAAUGCACACUAGCUGAAAGGAGAAAUCUAUGGGCUGAUUUGGUAUGAAUCUUAGGGAAUCUAACGUCGAAGCCAUGGACUGUGGGGGCAAUUUUAAUGUGUUCAUGACAUCUGACGAAUAUUUAGGCCGUGCUUCACAAGAUUUAGCAGUUAUUAAUGAUUUGCUAAUUGCAUCACCAGAUGUGGAAUGAAGACAAUGCUAUCAAUGGGUGUUGGUUUACUUAGACUAGUAUUCACCAAGGCUGGUGUGUAUGGAAGCGCUUAGAUCAAAUCCUGAUAAAUAUAACAUGACAGCAGUUAUUUCCCAACUUGGUAGUCCAGCAUCUGAACAAGGUCGGCUCGGAUCAUAGUCCUCUGUUAAUGCAGUUUGCCAUUGAUAGAGGCACCGGGGCAUAGGCCUUCAAGUUCCAGCAUACGUGGGUGAAACAUUCUGAUUUUAAGGAAGUGGUGCGACAAAGUUGGAUGCAGCCACUUCAAGCUUACGGGAUGUUUCAUUUCAUGCAAAAGCAAAAGAGAUUGAAGAGAACUCUAAGUGAGUGGAACAAACAAGAGUUCAAAAAUAUUUUUGAAAACAUCGCAAAAGCCGAAGAAGAAAUCCGACAAAAGGAAAUAUAGUUCGAAGAGGAUGAUAACGUGGAAAAUAGGAUGCAAUGGAGUCAAGCGAAGGCCUCUCUACUAAAGUGUUUAGUUGAAAGUAGAAGGUUUGGGUAAAAUGGCUGAAAGAAGGAGACUCCAACACAAGGUUCUUUCACUCAAUGCUUUUAGAUAAAAAAGCAAAGCUUUCUAUUCAUAAGAUCAAAAUUCCCAAGGGUAUUACACGGAUAACGAGCACGACAUUGGAGUUGAGGUUGUCAAUUUUUCCGUGAUCUAUUGUCCACUACAUCAACCGUGAAUGAGCAAUCUAUUUCAACCUUAUUAGCAAACAUUCCACCCCUUGUAUCCAAGCAAUAGAAUGGCUAUCUUUUGAGGGAACUCUCCCAAGCGGAGGUUAAAACGUGAUUUUUAGCUUGAUGAGCAAAGUGCAGUAGGAAUGGAUGGAUUUACUGGAUAUUUCUUCACACAAUGCUGGGCAAUUAUUGGGAAGGAUGUCUAUUAGGCAGCACAUGAAUUCAUGUGUGGAGUGCCUAUACUAAAGAGUAUCACUAGUACUCUUAUAGUUUUAAUACCAAAGAAAGACUCACCAUCGGCUUUUUCAAAUUUUCGACCGAUAAGUCUAUGUACCUUUAUUAAUAAAGUUUCCUCCAAUAUCCUUUGCAACAAGUUAAAGACUGUAUUGCCUUUAAUUAUCUCUUGAGAACAAUCAGCCUUCGUUCGGGGUCAUGAGAUCUCGAAUAUACAUUGCUAGCACAAGAAUUGGUGGACGCAAUUGAUAAAAAUGCAGGGGCAUAAUAUCAUCUUCAAGCUUGACAUAAUGAAGGCAUUUGAUCAUGUAUCAUGAAAUUUCCUAUCUAGGCUACUUCUUAUAUUUGGUUUUCAUUCUCGAUUUAUGAAUUUGGUUAUGAACAAUUUAAACUUGUCUUGGGUUUCAAUUCUUGUUAAUGGGAAGCCAAAUGGGUUCUUCUAGUCUACUCGAGGUUUAAAACAAGGAGAUCCUUUAUCUUCAUUCCUUUUUAUCUUGGUGGCAGAGACCCUUAGUCAAGGGUUGAUCAAUCUAGUUUAAUCGGGGAAAUUUCAAUCUUAUACUCAGUUGAGAGGUGCCUUACAAGUGUCUUAUCUGGCCUUUGCAGAUGACAUAGUCAUUUUUACAAGAGCUGACCGGCAAUCGUUGAAAACCCUCAUGAAUUUCCUGGAGCUGUACCAAAAUGGAUCGGGAAAAAAGAUUAAUAAAGACAAGAGUUUUAUGCGAAUUUGAAAUGGUGCUCUACUACAAAGGAGCGGAUGAUAACUUGGUUGACGGGGAUUCGAAGUCAAAGGCUGCCCUUUGUGUAUUUAGGAAAUCGACUUUUUAAGGGGAGAUGCAAAAUGAGUAUUUCCAACAUUUGAUAGUUGUAGACACCAAAAUUUUAAUUUUAUUUAAUUCAAUUUUAGCUCUUUUUAUUAUUUAUUCUUGUUUUUAUUUUAUCUUAUUUUAGUUGAUUAAGUUUGCAAAAUGGUAGUUAGUGUUUAUUUAUUAAUGUUCAUCAUUUUUCUUUUUAAAGCAUUUUUGCAUUAAAUUUCUAAAAAAGAAAAUUCUCAACAAAAAUCUAUUUUUAAUCUUUUUCAAACUCAAUUUCUUCCAAAUAAAAUGACAUUUUUGUAAGGCAAUCUCAAUUAGGAAUUAACAUUUUAUUUAUCAUAAAUUAGUUUUGAAAAACAAAAAAUAAAAAGGAAAAGAAAAUAGGUGGAGGCCAUGCCCAAUAGCUAGGUGGAGUGCAUGCAAAUGAGCCAUGUGUCUUUGUUUUCUUUUGACACCACAACACUUGCUAGAUUAGGUGGCGAGGACAAGUGGAAGUCUAGGAAAAAUUUGGAAAAAAACAAAAGAGAAAAAGGAAGGCAAAGGAAAAAGAGGUGGAGCAACAAAGGAAAGAAGGAAGAAAAAAUCGAGAAGGAAAAAAAGGAAAGGAGAGGAGCCGUGGGGAAAAAGCAAGAAAAAGGAGAAACAAGCAAGAGGAUUGGAAGGGUUAGAAAGAGAGCAUCUGAGGAGAGUGAGAGAGGAAGGAGGAGACUGUGGAGAGCAAGAAACAAAAAAGAAAUAGAAAAAGGGAGAAAAGAGGGUUUCGGGGAAGAACAAGCAAGGGAGAGGAGGAGAAAAAAAAGAGAAAAGAAAGAAACCAGGAAAAGAAGAAUCUGGGGAAGAACAGAGGGCUUAGGACAAGAAAAAUAGAGGAAAAUGAGGGGGGAAGACCGAGUAAAAAAAAAAGGAAGAAAACUUGCUGAAAAAUUUUCUUCAUCAGGCUGAUGAACUAGCCUGUUUCGGGGCCAGAGUUCGCCUUCAAUUUUAGUUUUCUGUGGGAUAUUUUGGUUUCUGUACACUCCUGGGAGACAAUAGAAGAAAUUUUGUUCACAAAAUUCUGUGAGAAAAUAGCUCUAAGUGAGCCAAAUCGGGACCCAAAGUAUCGGAUUCAUCAUUGCUGAAGUUUUCUGUGACGAAUUUCUCAACUUCGUUUCUGGAAUCAGCGUGCGUUUCUGGGCAUAUCUCAUGAUGAUAACAUGAAGAUUUGCAUGGAUUCCUUUCAUUUUACAAGUCUUAACAUUCCAAUGAUGGUUGAUGAUACGAACUCGACCCAACAAGAACCUAUUUUGAAGAACUGAAUCGAUCAGGCAGCGGAAGGAUCUAUCUUGACCAGGUUAUGGAUACAAAGAUGGAGAAACCUUACGACCCCUCUAAUCCCCGUGACUACGAACUUGUUGAUAUUAUCUCAACCCGUAACCAAACGAAUUAGUGAACCUCAGGCAAGUGUAGAAGGCGCCACAAUUCAACAUGGUCUUGAAUUGAUAAGCCGAAACUUGAACAAAGGAGAUACAACUCACUUUGUAUCAAGGAACGCUCCCAAAGGAACAAAAAAGAGAAAACUCUCAAUUUUUAUUCAUCUCAUAAUUGUCUUUCAAUAGAUAAAUAAAGUUGGCUAUUUAUAGCCUUGCAAGACUCAAAACCCUAAUCUAAAUUGGAAACAAUACAAGUUUCCUUAUUUUCCUUAUUUGACUUGACUUCUAAACUUGACACAAUUUCCUAAACAAAUUUGGAAGCAAUUAACUACUUUCCUAAAACUCUAAUUCAACUAGAAUAGGAACUAACUAAUUCAAAUUGGCUUAACUAUGGUCAACAUGACCUUAGCCUUUAUUCCCUAAUUCAAACAACUUACUUAACUCUCAAUUUGGAAAUCAAUAAAGAUAUCAAUCAAGAUUUGGAAAUCAAUCAAGAUACGAAUCAAGAUUUGGAAGCCAAUUAAAAUUUGGACGAUUUGGAUCUUCAAUGAUUCUUGAGCCCGAUUGCACCAUCAACCAUCAUUGGAAUGUUAAGACUUGUAAAAUGAAAGGAAUCCAUGCAAAUCUUCAUGUUAUCAUCUCACGUUCAACUGACCACGAAAUCAUUCUCAGGUAAUGUUACCCCCUAUUUGUGUUGAUUUAACACAAUUUUUUUUGCAAAAAUCAGAGCCUAUCAUGCGUGAACUGUCAAAUUUCCUUUUUUUUUGCCGCUGGUUUGGUGAGCUUAUUCCAUGGCUUUAUCAUGUUUGUUUUUUGAUGAUCCUCUUGUCGUUGUUUCCCUUUUUCCCGUUUUGUGUAUCUUGGGCAUUAAGUUUUAGAAAUAAAGAGCAUCAGUUGCAUAAUCUGGCUUGGAAUUCAUUUCGUUUUGUCUGUACUUGGAUAAAGCAAACCCAGAAACCUGGUGGAGAUCUUUUUGGAUGAACCUGGAGUUUGUAAACUUUUUUCAUUCUAGUUUUCCGUUCCCUUGAAUGUAGAAUAAGCUUAUGGAACUUGAGAUUAGUUUCUGGUUUGAAAUUGUUGUUAAACUUUGUCGCGUGAGAUUGGUGAAGUCCUAAAAGCAAUGUUUUGAAAACCGGACCGGACCGGCCGGUUCGACCGGUCGGACCGCGAACCGGUCAUGUCUCCGGUCCGGUUCACUGCUAAAGUUGACUUGUUAUAUGAACAGGUCAAAACCGUAAAAAUCGUUAGAACUGUUCAACCCGGAUUGACCCAUUGAACCGCGGUUUUUUUAUUUUUUUCCUAAUUUUUUAAACCGAAUUUAAAAGUCUUGAAAGGUGAAAACGUAUCUUCCCAACUUUUCUUUCUAACCCUAAUUUCUAAUGACGGCUGCCGCACACUCUCUCCCAUUCUUAAUCUCUUCUCCAGUUCUCUUUCUUCUUGUUUCAAAAAUUAAGAAUCCAAAUUCUCAAUGGCAUCGGGCUUCUUAAAUAUGGGGUUUCUCAACUUCAAUUCUCUAUUUUUUCUUGCAAAAGAUUGGAUUAAUCUCACAAAUCUUAACUCUCAAGACAUCGUCCAGGUUAGUUUCAUUUUUUUUUUCAUUUAUUUGUUUAUUACUUGGCGUUUGACAGAUUGUAUGAUUCUUGAGGUCUGCAAUUUUUGGUAGUUUUAUUUUUAUUGUUUUUCUUUGAAGAGCAAUUUGUCUAUUUCAGUUUUUUUUUCUUUUUCUUUUGUGGGUAAGAAUUUGAAUGCCAUGAGAGAAAACCAGUGCAGAAAGCUAAUUUACUUGAUCAACUAUUAUGUCACAAAACUCAGGAUUCAAUUCCUAUUUUUGGUAUUGUAUAUGUACUUCAGUUUUGUUGAUUAUGUACUGAAAAAUUCUUGAAGUACUUUGCACUAAAAUAUAUAAUUCAUUUUGGCUGCUCUUAUCCAUUAGGACUACUCAACAACAUAAUCUUUAUACUAGGCCGACAAACGAUGUUAGGGACACUAUUUAGUGGAUUUUCCAAAAUAUUGCAACAGGCUACACUUGCAAUUUUUGUGCCUAUUCCAGAGCAUGAUGAUCAAAUUGCGUGGCUUGAAAAUUCUUCAGGGAUGUUUACCGUAAAGGAUGCUAUGAAAACAUUCCAGCCCGAGGUACCGCUGUACAUUGGAGUAGUUUAGUAUGGUAUGAAAAUCACAUUCCUAGACAUGUUUUUAUAUUGUGUUUGGUAUGUAACAAAGACUUAGUACACUGGAUUUGAGGAAAUGCGGUGUUCUCAGUUGGGGAAAAAUUCCUAGAACUCAUGAAAAUUGGAUUCUACUUGUAGAGUGGGGCUUAGAUUUUAAGCAAUUUUGUUGGUUUGCAAUGCUUAGUGUUAUUUUGCUGAUGUAGUUUGAGGAUUUCCUCGUGUAUGUGCUACGUUGCAAAUCAUUAAUGAAGUUCUUUCUAUUUUGCUCAAAAAAAAUUAUUUUUUUGAUAGGUAUAACUGAGAUGAAUUAUUUGCUUGAUUUUACAAUUUAAAAAAUUAAUCUAUGAAAGUCAAGUGGUUUGAAAUAUUUGACUUUUUAUCAAGUGAUGUCUUGAAUUAGUCUAUGAGAUUUCUUAUUCUGUGCACAUGUAUGUGUGUAAUACAUAUAUAUAUAUAUAUAUAUAUAUAUAUAUAUAUAUAUUUAUAUAUAUAUAUAAAUCAUUAAACCAGGGUUGAACCGGUCCGACCGGUCGAACCUCAACCCUCUCACCUUACCGGUUCAAUUAACGGUCCGAGUUUCAAAACAUUGCCUAAAAGCAUCAAGGGUAGCAGAAAGUUUUAGUUGCAUCAAGGGUAGCAGAAAGUUUUAGUUGCAGCAAGCUUCUUCGAAGCUUUGCAUGAAAUACUAUCCAAAAUUAUAUUUUGAUCCCUAUGUUUUUAAAUAAUUCUGAUUUGACCUAGAAAAUUGGAAAAAUCAAUCAAUCUUGUCCCUUUAAAAUGUUAAUUUUCUUUGGUAUGAUUUAAUGUGAUUUUUGGACAGAUUAUUUAUGAGUUUUAGGAUGAAAUUCAAGGUUUAAUAUUUUUGUAUAGAUUGAUAGUUUUUGAUUUGGGUUUUAUCGAAGAUUUAAGGAUUUGGGUGAUAUUUUCAUGGGUAUUUGAUUUACUUUUGUGAAUUUGGGUGUGGUGGGCCUUGUUUUGAAUCCUUAAUUUUAUUUUAAUUUGGACCCCUAAUAUUUGUAAUAAUAAUAAUUUGACCCCUAAAACUUUUAUAAUUGUUUCAAUUAGGCCCUUGCUUGUUUUAAUCUCUUGAAUAAGGGGUUGUUUACUUUCAUUUAAAUGCCUUGGUUGACUAUUUCCAUUUCUUUACAUGUUAUUGCUUUUAUUUGUUAAAUAAAUUGGUACCUUGACCAUUUCUUUGUUUUGGAGGGUAAAUAAGAGAAAUUUCGUUUCAUUAUGUCACCAAUUCAAGGGAGGUACACUCUACUCCUUUAUUUUAAUUCUACUUGAUCCUAUGUGAAUUUAUGUGUGUAAUUUCAUUUUUUUGAAUGUUUAUUUAUUUUAUUUUAUUUUAUUAUUCACUUUAUUUGUUUUUUUAAUUUUGUAUAUUUAUUUUAAUUUAAUUUUGGAUUAUUUGAGAGGCAUUUAAAUGCCAAAGUGGAAUAGUUAGGGGCUUCAAGACAUGUAUUUAAAUAGAAUAUGUAAUAGUUAGGUAUUUAUUUUAUUAUUUUAUUCUUUCCCCCCUUAGAAUGUAGUUAGGGCCCCCAAAUGUAAUAGUUAGGUCUCUAUUUGCUUUAUUUGCUUGUGUGUUUACGUGUUUACUUGUUUUCUUAGGGUCUUUGUAUCUAGAUAUUAUGCUUAUGUGCUAUGUGUUUUAUGUGAUAUUAUGUGUUUACUUGCUUUUAUUAUGUUUUAUAUGAUUUAUUUGAUUAUAAUACAUGUAUGACGUCACCACACUAGUCCAACGCUAGUCGCGGCCCUUUUUCCCAUUUUCUCACUAGUCCAAUGUUAGUGAGAACUUGUAGACAUGGGCUAGUCCAACGCUAGACCCGUUAGGGCCGUUCAUAAGCUAGAAUCACAUUUUGCAUGCUUCACUACGUUUCCAUGCAUGUUUUACUUUCUUUCUUCAUUUUGCAUGCUAUAUUUCCCUUUCCCUUGUGCGAUUCAUGACAUCUUGACUUGCAUUUUCAUUUAGGCAAAUUAGAACUAGAUUAGAUCAUUUGUUUGAUUAGAUAGACGAAUUACCCUUUAAAUAUGAGAUAUGGACGAGUAUGGCUUUCUAGCCUUAGCACGCUUGUAUUCCCUCUAUAAAAGGGAAAAUUGAAGUCACGAGGGUUAGUUCCCCGCACCCAUUAUGAUGCAUUCCCUUAGGUUAUAUAUAUUUUUAUUAUUUUCUUUCUUUCGAGUCCCAUUUUUUGUAAUUUCGUGACCUCUUCAAGGAGUCACUUUUGGGCGUCGCAAUUAAUGCGAUUUGCACCAAUCAAGUUUUGAAGAGAUAUUUUGACCCUCCCGAUAGCCAUUAGGUUUAGGUUUGCAUUCAUAUAGUAAACAUCCAAAUGUGAUAAGUUUUUAGGUUAAAUUAAGAAAAUUUUUGACUAAGUCACGCAACUAGUCUUGGCUAGGUUGAAAGGGUACCUUGGAUUUUAUCCUUGCCUUUCUUUUCUUCAACCGUGACUCCUGAACUUUUUUCUCUGAUUUUCGAAGACUUGGAGUCGUUUAAAAAGGGUUUUCUCUACUUUUUAUUUGAAAUUCAUUUUUUAGGUGAUUUGGUACACUUUAAUUCAAUACCAAGUGGUGACUCCUAUUUUUUUUAUUAAAAACCCUUUUUAAACUUUUAUUUUUGGGUCAAAAUCGUCGCACUUUUUAAGUCCCAUUUAGGCCCAUUUUCUAAAAAUUAAAAACUAAUUUUUUACUCAAAAUUAAUUAAAAUUCAUUUUUCUAAACCCGAGAUCGUAAAUUUUAUUUUUCUUCAAAAAAUGGGGAGCGACAAUAGUCAAAAUGCAAAACAAGUUUGCAAGCUAGAAAACGAAGUUGCUGUCUGUCGGGAGACGUUUGAUCUUGAUCAAACAUGUUUUACUGGCUAUUCCUUUAUACAUCUUUGCGGAUUUGGAACCCCCAAAAAGUGUUUUGCGCCAAAUUGAGUAGAUUAUGUCUCAAUUUUUCUAGGAAGAAGUGGAUCAAAUUGAGUUGAUUAUGGCAUUUGGAUCACAUCUGCGAGGUGCUUACACUGGAGGACAGGUCGCAUAUUCUCAAUGGAAAGGUUUCAAAUCUCAAUAGGUCGGGAUCUUCUAGUCUGGACGGCCACCUAGAUGAUUAUUUCAAACUUCAGUUAGCCUUGGAAAAGCUUCGAAAGCCUGCCAAUCCCUUAAUUUCGUGAAAGCUCAUUUGAGACCGGUGUAUUCCUCUCAAAAUAUCGAUCUUCAUGUGGCAUUUGCUUAAUUGCAUGCUUCCCUUUCUAGAUAUAUUGCAGCAAUUUUGUUUUCAUUUACCUUCAAAAUGCUCUUUUUGCACCACCGAGGAGACUUUGAGACAUUCCUUCAUAGAGUGUUAGGUAGCUAAUCAAGUUUGGGAGUGGUUUGAGCAGUUGCUAGGUCUUCAAAGAGUUGCUACGGAUUCACUCAUACAAAAACUACAAAGUUGGUGGAUGCAUACCUUUGGGAGCUCUCUAAAAGCUGCCUUAGCUCAUUUUUUGGCUGUGUUGAUUUGUUGGGAAUUGUGGAAGGCAAGGAAUAAGGCCAUUAUGAGGAUGUGGUCAUAUCUCCAGAUCAAAUUUGCCGUCAGGUCUCUUGGUCACUUCACAGUAUUGAAGCAGUUCAUUCCUUUACUACCUCAAGUCAAGAAGACGAUGUCUGGCUGAAUUUGGGAUUGUUACCCUUUUCAAGAAGGCUGGCAUCAACAAAAUGCAUCACUUUAGUUUGGUCCUUGCCAUUCUUCCCCUACAGUAAGUUGAAUGUUGAUGGCUCAUCUCUUGGAACCUAGGUUAUUCAGGAGGACGGGGUAUUAUAAGGAAUCCUAAUGGCCACGUGGCCACGUGCAGGGUGUUCUCUCAUUCUUCUAUGGAUUUCACACGAACAUGGAAUUAGAGGUGAGGGCUCUUUUGGAAGGUCUCCAACUUUGUACAUCUCUUGGAUUAACAAAGGUGAUAGUGUACAUGGAUUUUGUGCAAUUGCUUAACUUAGUAAAACAAAUUUCAGCUCCGCCUUGGAAGAUUGAUGUAAUCAUUAGGCAAAUACAGUAGGUGUUAACCCAAGUCGAGUUUGUUUUGGAACAUUGCUAUAAGGAGACCAACUCAACAGUUGAUGCACUUGUGAAGCAAGCAGCAAUUACGUGACAAUCAUUAUUUAUAAUGCUACCACUCUAUCAAAGCAAGUGAAAGGAAUCUUAUGUUUAGAUGCUAGACAAUUCCUUUAUAUUCAUAUAAAGCAAUAAUUGUAACGGAGUAGUACCCCUAGUCUUUUAGCUCUAUUCUCACACUACUCUGUAACUUUAUCAAUUCAGAUUAAUAAAUUGGGGCUGGCAUCUUGCCCCGUGUACGGGGCUUUAAAAAAAGUUGCUCAAAUACAUGUGAUUGAUACAAAAUGAAACUUAUACAAAUUUAUAAUUUAAAGAGUUAGUUUCAUUCUUGAAAACCCUAAUUUCCUUACGAAGGUAAGAAAAUAAAUGUCCUUUAAAGUAUGUAAAAUGAACACUUAUCAAAUUUCCCCACACUUAGAUCAUUGUUUGUCCUCAAGCAAUAGGAAAAACCAUACAACAAUGAUUUAAGAAUGAACUAAAUAAUGUGAAACUUUUAAAAUGCAACUCCUCAUCAUAAGUUUGUAAACUAUCAUUAUGCAAUUAUUCAAAUUGCCAUAAAUACUCAUAAUAUCAAGUAAAAGAGAAAUAAUUAUAUCUUAAUUUCAUAUCAAACUUAAUCUUUUAGUCUAACUAAAUUGUACAAGUAAUCAAAUCAUAUAAUUACUUCAAGUUUUUUCUCUUCCAUAUCACUUUUCUUACUUCAAGAGGGAUUUAUUCUUUUUUUACUAUCAAUAGCUCUCUCAAAUUGUGAAGAGGCUUUUUGAUGCGAAAAUCGACAUUUUUAAAUGAAGAUCCCUAGUUACUCAAAACCUUACUUAUUCAAUCUACAUUAUAUACUCUUAAUUUAAAUACCUUUUGAUGCGAAAUUUAACAUUUGUAUAUACUAACCCCUGGUUACUUAGUACUUAAAUCAUAUGAGGAACACAAUUUUUUUUAAUCAAGGUAAAGGUUGAUGAAUUCCCUCAAGAAAUUAAAGAAUAGGAAGAGAAUAACUCUAUUAACUAUAUCAAUCAUUUACUUAUGAAAUCUAUUAAAGCAAGAAAUUUUUUUUAACAACAAAAUUUUAGGCAUAAUUUUCUCUAUUUCACCAAAAUAUGCAAAAAUUCUAAUCACAUAAUAAUACUUUCCAAGCCAAAUAUGAAAUUGACUUCCUUAGUCAUAUAAAUCUAUUUCAAAAUAUAGGAAAAAUUCAAUUCUAAUAGCAGGAACUAGUGAACUUUUGAAAACUUUUGGGGGUAAUUUUGCAAUUUGGCACAAGAUUUUCAAAAAAAUUUUGACAGAAUUUCCCUUUAUAUCUGGGCGAAACUCCUUGCUAACAAACUCAAAAUUUUCAAAAAUACAAGCACAACUAACAUGUCCAAUAUCAAGGCCAACAAGAAUUCAUGAAGCGUAAAUAUCUCCUCCCCCACACUUAGAAUACACAUUGUCUUCAAUGUGUGGGAAAGAUAAAACAACAAAAGAAAGAAAUACUCCCUAACUACAAAGGAUGAAGGCCAGUGCAACCAUGAGUUUACAAACAUCUAGUCUACUGCUUAAUAAAUACUGUAGAUAAGUCAGAAGUAGCACGGCAUAAGUCCUACUAUUAGUAAUCCAUAAAGCAAAAGAAAUACUACUAAAAUUGAAACAAGGACAAUAGCAAAAAGAAACAGAGAGCAAAAUUGAGGCAAUGGCUCCAGAAGUGGCUGUAGUGCCCUGAAAUCCUUAAUCCUCACUAGAAGGUGCAUGAGUGAAUGGUUAGAGUUGGGAAUUGCCCGAGUGAUCCUCGAUGCGACGCACUCGAAUGUCUUAGCAUUCAAAAUUGGCAUCAAUUUGAUCAAAGUGUUCCUCCACCUGGGUUUGAAAACAAUUAAUUAUGUUGAAAAGGUGCUACCAAUUUGAUUGGGAAGGUGGAGGUGGCAGUGGUGGUGCAGACGUUGAAGAGCUAGUUUCAUCUUUAUUUCAUGGAGUGGACAAUGAAGACUACUGAUCCCUUGCUUGGCUAGAUCUUCUAGGCCUUGGUGGAUGAAAAAUAUCAGCAGCCCUUAUAGUCAAUUCAUGUAGAGUAUAUUCAUUAAUCUCAUAAAUAACCCUCACAUGCACCUUUUCCAUGUCUUUUGUAUUAACUCUCUCUUAUUCAAAUAGCAACGAUAAGAGAGUGGGAACCCAAACCUAAAAUUGGUAGUAUGAUGCCUAGCAACCGUCUUUAUAUAGUUGAUAAUGAUAUUCAAGAGUGGAAUCUAAGCAUAUGGAGAAGUUCGAUUGUGGAACAUUCGAUCCAAGAAAUAAAGAUCACUAUUGCAGACUUCAUUCAUGCUACUCUUCUUGGGAAUCACAUUUCUUGAAAACAAAUGUAGGAUCAACCGAUGGCGUGGUUCAAAUGUACUAGCUGUGAGUGUAGAUCUUUGAGAAGUUCUAGUGUAAUCAAAAGAUUGGUUAAAGCGCAUCAUGACUAAAAUAGGAUCCCAACCGUCAUUAGGUGAGUGAAACUCCUUUUUCAAGUCAAUGCUUGGACCUUCACUAUUGCACCCAAGAUGAGCCACCAAUGUAUCUCGAGUGAUUGUCAAUUGCUUCCCAUGGAUACAAGACUUGAUGACCUCUCUACUAUGCCCACCUUUGUUCAUUAUAUUGGCGUAGAACUUUUUGAUCAAAGUUGGAUAGAUAUAACUUGGAAGAGAUAAUAUUGGAGCCCAACCAAGAAUGUUAAAAUGCCUCACUGAUUUGAAAAUUUGAAUCUAUUUCUGGGGCUACAUGCAUUUCAUAAACGAACUCUCUCUGCUCAUGUGCCUUAAACCAUUCUUGAUUCUCCUUUGGAGUGAAUCUAAUCGGAUCAUAAUUUAGGAGAACUCGCCAACUUGUUGAACGUCUUGUGGAUUGAGUUCAUGGUGGUGGAGAUGGAGAAGAAACAUGUUCUAGUUAUGGAUAUAUCUCAUCCUUACAAUUAUGGACUUAUUCCAAAAGAUAAACAGGUUAUAGGCUUGUCCGGUUAAUUAGUAUUUUCUAUGGUUCUGUUUGAUAACAUAAUUUAAUACUUAAAUUUAAUGGAUUCAGAUCUUAACAUAUUCAGAUGGUUUGAUAAUAAAAAAUUGAACAUCUUAAUUAAUUAAGUGAUACUGAAUUUUCUAGACAAAACAUGCUCUCAAAAUUAAGUGAUAAACUAUUAGCUUAUCGCUGAACGUGAUAUACACUCAAAUAUAUUAGAUUUAAUAUUUAACAAUUCAAUAAGCUAAUGAAUUCAGAUUUCAAAUUUUAGAUUUUAAACUUUAAUUUUAUCAAACACCCUCUAAGUCUCACCUUCCUCACUUAACCCAAAUUUCUUCUCCCUCCCUUUUCCACUAGCUCCGCCUCUCUUCACUUCCUUCUCUGCCCCCACCCAUCGCUCCAAUAUUUCUCCUCUUCUCCGCCAUGGCCAAAUCAAUACACAACUCUUUCCUUCGGCUCCUGCAAACGUUGCCUAUCUAGCUUUUUUGUCGAACUCGAUAGUUUCAUAUUAUAUUUUCCUCUUAUAUUAAUUUUCUUGUACCCAAAUCUUCCUUCCCUACAUAAAAAUUUCCACUCAAAAUUUAAUGCCCUGUUUGGGUUGCAUUUUUUUAUGAGUUUUUAUAGAAAAAUAUUGUGACACUUUUUUUAGAUAUGAUGUUUUUGGAUUGUAUCUUCGAGGAGUUGCUCCUUGUUUGGUAAGCCAUUUUUCAUCAAAAAAUUUCUAGAUGGUUCGUGAACAUAUUUCUCAAUCACUUUUUUUCCCCUUACAUAUAUCAAAUCGUUACAGUAUAUUUUCUAUAAAAAUUCUAGAAAAUUGCAAUUCAAACAGGAAAUAAUACAUUUACAUCUAUUUGAAAUGUUGAAUUAUUGCCAAACAGCAGCAAUAGCAAGCAAACUUCGAACUAUAGUAUCCAAACAAAAUAGGGGCAAAUGCUUCUUCAUAAUGAAUGACACGUUCUUCUGCAAAAUCCUUGGCAACUAGAUAAGCCCUUGUAUCCCUGAUCAGUGGUGCUAUCAGAUCGAGUCUCGAUCUCACGUAUGUAUUUUAUCCAGAGCGGAUUUUCCAAGAGCUAGCUAGAUCAACAAGAUCCCAUGAAUGUGUAUAUUUUGACAACAGCUUGCAGUUGGUGGAAAAAAUGGUGGUGGAGCAUUGACAUGCUUCAGAAAGUAGGAUCAUAACUGGAUUAGACAUGCUUCAGAAAGCAGGAUCAUUGACAGAAAGAAUGGUGGAAAAGUCAUGAAGAUCGAGUAGAAAGUUCUCUUAGCUAAGGUUAUUCUAAUAUAGCAGAUGGUGAUGGAGCACGUUAUCGUAAGACUUAUUAGGUUAUUCUAAUAAUGUUGCAUCUCCGGAUGUACCAAAACUCUUGAGAACCAAACAAAUCAUAAUUAGGUGCCGACUGAGAGUUGGAUUGAUAACUUUGAAUUAUCUUGAUUAGGAAAGAGAACUAACAAAGGAAUUAGUGACAAAGGUAAUAUUGAGUUAGAAAUACAUAAAACUAACUUGGCCAAAUUAAGAAUAUUUGGCAACUUUCUUGUUUUUAUUCCUAUCUUAGAUUUGUUAACAAAAACUAACAUACAUAUAUAUAUAUAGAACCUUACAGUUUUUUUUUUGAAGGAUCGAACCUUACAAACUUAAUAAUAUAUUAAAUCGUAGCCAAGAAUAAUGAAAAUUAGUCUAGUAAUUGACAUAUUUUACUCCACUAUAUUUUGCUUAACCUUAACCCACGGGUUUCGAAGAAUAAGGCGUUUCAAUUUUAGAACCUUGUGCAUGGGCUAAUACCCGGACCUAAUCAUAGGAAAUAGGAUACGGCUUAUGCCGGGGCUUGUUUAUUUUGGAGCUUACAUCAUUUAAAUUCAAGGGUUUAACCUACUCAUCAGAAGAAUUGACUGACUUUCACCAAGAAAGAGAAGUGAAGGGGGUAACACUUCACCUUUAUAAAAUAUGAUGAGUGGUGCAUCUCUGUACAUCAUUGGAGUUAAAUUGUCAAGAUAGAUAAUCAAUCCAGUUGAUUAAAAAGUUUGGAAAAAUAUAGUUUUUAGUCCCUAAUAUUUAAUACUUGUGCGGUUUUAGUUUUUAAAGUUCAGAUAAAAAUAAAUCCGGUCCCUGAUGUUUAGUACCUGUGUAGUUUUAGCCAUUAAAGUUUUGGCAAGAGCAAAUUUAGUCCUCAAUGUGUCCAAUUUCAAGCAAAUUUAGGAUAUUUGAAGAAUUAUUUUGAAUUAUUCACAGAAUUUAGUCACGUGCAGUAAUGUGCAUGUUAAAUUGAAUUCAAAAAAAUAAAAAAGUAAAAUAGCUGCUAAUUUUGAACAAUAAGACUAGGACUAAUAAUUCAUGUACUAAUUAAUUAGUAUGCACUUUAGAUACAUGAUAGAUAUGCAAAAUUAGAUUUUAAAUUCAGAUUCAGAUUAAUUGUUAUGCAUCAAAUAGUAAAAAUAGAUACAUUAUCAGUAUAUUAAAAAUUAAUUAUUUAUUAAUAACUAAAUAUAGAAUCUUCCACAUAUCUCUAGAUUAGAAAAUUGUGAAUCUCAAAAAUCAAAUUAAAGAGGGUAAGAAUGGUUGUUGGUGCAAUUGUUCACGACUGUUUUGGAAUGAUGCACAAUCUUUUUCCAAAAAUAAAUUUAUCAGAAACUAAAAAUAAACCUUAUUUGUAACUUUGUAAUAGCAUGUGGUAUUCAAUUAUCAUUCACGUAAGUCGAUAAUUGUGCUAGAAUUACACGAGAACAUUUCCGGUUUUUUUUUUUCAAAUUAGUGGCAAUAUCAUGAACAUCAAGCUAAUGGAUGGGUUGUCUACUUCUAUCUCACUCCUUUUGUUUUGAGAAAAAACAAUUAAAUACUCCUUUUUGUUUUGAGAAAGAAGAAAAAAAGUCCAUUUUAACCUCACCAUCCAAAUCCAAUGAUUAGUUUUAAUCGUUGUUAAAAAAUAAACAAACAAAUAAAUCAGGGAGAAAUAACAUUUUUAGUUCCAAUGUAUGGCCCAUGUGCCAUAUUGGUCUUUAAUGUUUUGACUAUCAAAACGAAUUUGGUUUCUAAAGUUUCUAAUUUUAUGCAAAUUUAGAAUAAUUGAUAGAAAUCUAACAAUUCUAACGGUUAAUCAACUUCUUGUUAUUCAAUAGUAUUCAGUUUGUACUUUUGGCCCCCGUUAUUUAGAGUUUGAAUUAUUAUAGUCCUUUAAGUUUCAAAUAAUGAUAUUAAGGGUUUUAGGAUGGAAAAAGAUACAAACUGAAUUGGAAUUGCCUUACAUAAGUACAGAGUGCCAACUAAACUUCUUUUUCCUGCUUGUUUUAUUUUCUUUGUUUUAUCUAUUCAUGCCACUAGUUUUUCCAUAUCUUUCUUUUUUUGGCACAUAUUAUUGGUCUUGAAUUUGGCAUAAUAUAUGCAAUUAUUCUUUGCAUUAUGAAUAAUUAAUAGACCAUGAGUUCUAUAAUUUUUUUUCACUUACAUUGAUUAGUAAACAUGUAACUAAAUAUUCCUUUGAAAUAUGUGCAAUAUACACUGUAUGUAAAUUAAGUUGAUAAUCAAAUAGCUUUUCCUUUCUUUUUUCUUCUCCUUUUUUUUAACAUUUCAAUAUUAUCAAGUAAGUUUCAAAUGAAAUAUAUAUUUUAUAGAAUUAUUUGAAUUAUUCAAAAAAAAUUAUCAAUGUUAUGAAUAUUAAAAUAAUUGCUUUAAAAAUUUAUCAGUGGAGCGUAUAGUUUUAAUACAAAGGAAAGAUAAGGAAAAUUUUUUUUUUUCAAAAUUGUCUAAAAGCACUUUUACUGGUAUUUACCUCACUAGUUAUUGUAUAACAGUUUCUAACUACAACCAUUUGAAGUCCAUGUCCUCAAGUAUUGCAAGAAUUUGUAUAAUGGUAGUUAGAUUAAAGUUACACGUUUAAAUUAAUAUUCUUUUUUCUUUAGCUAGCUUUACCUUAUAUAUUUUUCAUGUAUAGCUUUUAAGUUUGUAACUAAUUUAAUAAAGAGUCACUCUUUAGCUAAAGGAUAGUUUUGUUACGAUGUGAAGUGUUUUUUGAGAUUUUUGUCGGUAUUUAGGAACACAUUUGUUAUAGUACAUAUUUUAUUCAAUUCAUAUUCAAUUUAUUUUAUGACUAUGCUUAUUUAAAAGCUAAGGGACUAUAUUAAUCGAAAGUUCAAACUUUAGGAAUAAAAAUUUUAAAGUCAAAACUUUUGAAUGACACGAAUUUAAUUUUGAGUAUUAGUUAUUCUAAACUUGCUUAAAUAUGAAAAUUUGAAAAUUAAAUUUAUUUUGCUCGAAAGAAAUAUUAGUAGAGGUGUCAAAAUGGGUGAUUUGGAUGGAUUUGCGUUCGGUAAAAUGGGUAAUGGGUAUAAGUGAGUCAACCCAUUUAUACCCAUUUAAUUAGAUAAGUAUAAAUGGGUAAGUCAAAAAUUGAAUUGGGUAACCCAAUUAUCCAUUUAUAACCCAUUAAUUUUAACUUUUUUUAAACUCAUUUAAAUUCAUUUCUGCAAACUAAAUUAUCAAUGUAUACCACAUUUUGCACCUAUCAUUAGUUUUAAAUAUUUACUUAUAAUACUCAAUAAGCCUAAUUAUCAAUUUUUCCCAUCCGUAUUCUAUGUUGUAAAAUUACAUAUUAUUUAAUAAUUGAACAAUAAGAAUAUAAAAAUUGAACUAAGUACUAUAAAAGUCAACAUAAAAACUUAAUUAAAAAAUCUUGAAACCCUAGCAUUUUUUUUGUAUGUAAAUUUAAAUUUUUAAUUUGAAAAGAUAAAUUGGUAAUACUGAAAAAUGGGCAAGUUAACAAACUAAGAAAAAAUAAAAUGAUAAGAUAAAACCAACAAAUAAUAAUAAUAAUAAUGAAACAAAAGUAGUUAAUAUCAUAACAAAAUGAAAAAUUUGAAAAAAAAAGGGUGGGGAAAGAGAGGAGGUUUGAUGGGUUACAAUUCUAAAUGGGUUAAUUGGAUUUGAUGGGUUAUCCAAUAAUACCCAUAUAUUAAAUAGGUAUUAUUGAGUAACCCAUUUAUAUUCAUAUGCAAAAAUUUAAGAUACCCAUAUCCAUCUAUUUAUGAGCGGAUAUGGGUAAAUUUAAUUAAAUGGGUUUGUUUGCCACCUAUAAAUAUUAGGGACUAAUUUGACACAUUGGCCAAACAUUGAGGAUAAAAACUGCAAUUUUCCAAUAAAUAAGCACCAACCUGCUUACAAAAUGCGUAGUUAACGAAUUGGUUCCUCAGCUGUCACCUACUACGUCAGAGGCUCAACCACCAUACUUUCUUCCACCAACUCUUUCCUCUCUUUCCUCUCUGUACUGGAGUUGACUCUUUCCUCUCUGUCGUGUGUGAAAAUGGCGGCAGCAGCAGGAGAAGAAGUGAAAGUGCCCAGAAUCAAGCUCGGUUCGCAGGGGCUUGAAGUUUCAGCUCAGGGGCUGGGCUGUAUGGGCAUGUCAGCCUUCUAUGGCCCGCCCAAGCCCGAGCCCGACAUGAUCAAGCUCAUCCACUAUGCUAUUGACCGAGGCAUCACCCAUUUCGACACCGCCGAGAUGUACGGGCCGUACACCAACGAAAUACUCGUCGGCAAGGUACUGUAGCUUGAACUGUAUGAUUCUUGAUUGUUGUACAUCAUGCUUUAGUACUUGUACCUUAGUCCAGUUUCUCAGCUCCCCAGUUACAAAUGUGCAAGUGCAGUGGUUAGAUAGCUCCUUUCCUUGGUUAACUUUUUGGAAUUGAUAUUGCGUUGGGACUCAGUAUUUUUUUUAAAAAAAUAUUUUUAAAGACUCAACAGUAUCUUCUGUGUCUCUGCUUCGCAUGGUUUAUACAAAAUCCAAGGUGAAAUUUGGAUUAGAGGAAACUGUAAAUGAACUAGAGGAAUGAAUCGGCUAUAGCUCCUAUAUGAACUACUGGGAAGAUCAUAGCGAAGAAGUAGUCGAGACCUAACAAAAGGAGUAAACCUGAAGUGUUGUGAAAGACUAUGAGUUAGAAAUAGUUUGGCCUCUUUAGACAGGAUCAUCAUAUAAAGGAAACAAAUAGCAUAAUAUUAGUUUGUAGAAGUAGGCAAGAUUGAGAUAUAUUCUGUCCUGAGAACUGAUCAGGUAAAACUGUUUGUAUUGAUAUGUAUUAAUCUGUGUACCCUGGAUGAUUAAUGUUUUGAAAGAAUGAAUGUAGGCUUUGAAGGGAGGGAUACAAGAGAAAGUGGAGAUAGCAACAAAAUUUGGGGUCAGAUUUGUGGAUGGAAAGCGGGAGGUUUGUGGUGAUCCAGCUUAUGUAAGGGCUGCAUGUGAGGGAAGCUUGAAACGACUUGGUGUUGACUGCAUUGAUCUCUACUAUCAACAUCGGAUUGAUACACGUCUUCCCAUUGAAAUCACGGUUUGCUCCAGUUUUCUUUUGUGUUUUAAAUGUUCAUUCUUAUGCUUGAUGAAUUGAAACUUUGCAUGUAAGUCAGAUUAACUGUUAUAAUGGUUUGUAUGAUUGCGACCUUUUUUAGGCCCAAGAAGCAGAUUAAGAGGUCUGACAAUACAUAGGAAUAUGGAACUUUGGCAAGCAAAUAUCAGUCACUUUUCCAAUUUUAAGUCAGAAAUUUAUACUAGAUGUCACUUAUGUGAAAAAUGAAGAAAAGGAAAUUUUUUCUUUGUACAGCUUUGCGGACAUUUUUAUUUGUCAAGCAUGGCAAUUUUCAGAUUUAUGUUUUGUAGCCAAGUGUAAAUUUAUAAACAUGGUAACUAAGCUGAAAGCCACAUCUGCAGCUAAACAGAGUCAAUCUUAUGCUUUUAUCCCUGUGGAAGUGCUUAUUUUUUUAUAUUUGUCAAGAUUUUAAAAUGCUAUAUUCACUUAGUCAAUUGCUGUUCAAGAACCACUUUCAAUUUGUGUCUGUGAAUAUGCUUUUGUUGAUGUUCUGCCAGAGAGAAGCCAAUUGACUUUUGUUUAACAUGCUUUGCAUCCCCAAAGUAUGCUGGAAGACACCAAUUACUCCACUAUCCUGUUUCACCUUCUGCUUUGCAGUUGAGAUCCACAAUAUUGUUCAUUUACCAAGAAAGGAAGCUUUUAAAUCGUCUCUGAAAAAAUAUCCUCCAAGUCCCAGAAAAUCGUGCAAUAUUCGAUUGCAAAUAUAUUGAUGGUGCAACUGUCUUUGGCUCACUAUAGAUGGAGAUACUGUCAUGAUAUAUCACUUUAUACAAACACUCUAUUUCUGUGUAACAGAUAUUUAUGCCCUAAAUACAGUAGAAAGGCCAUUUGUUAGAGCAUUAAUUAACUGUAUCUAAUCUACUAGUAGUUGUGGUACUAGAUGUAGGAGAAAUGGAAUAGAUGAAAUUUGGUCUCAUUCAACUUUAGGACGAGAUUGAGUUUCAUAUGCUGUGCAAUUGGUUCAGAAGUUGCAUGGUCUAGGAGUUUGACAUAGUAAUUUAGAUGACGAUAAUACUGGUUGUGAUACUAGAUGCAGGAGAAAUGGAAUAGAUGAAAUUUGGUUGCAUUCAACUUUGGAGGAGAUUGAGCUUCAUAUGCUGUGCAAUUGGUCCAGAAGUUGCAUGUUCCAUGAGUUUGACAUAGUGUUUUAGAUAAUGAUAAUACUUGUGUUGAAAUAUAUGUACCAGCAACUGAUCCCAAAAAGGAAAAAGGGAAAAAGAAUUGUUUAUAUGUGCACAAAUAUUGUUGCCUGAUUAGCAUAUUACUAUACGUUGUAUGACCUUCUUUAAGAUAUGAUGACCUGUGCUUUGUCUUUAAUUUGAGAUGUCCUAUCUUGUUGAAAUUCGAUAUGCCAUUUCUGUCCCCCCUUGUGGCUUCUCUUCUUGUAGUGCAUUAAGCAAUGUGGGCAGUCAUUAGUUGACAUGCAUGGUUCAAGUUGUCCUUUUUAUAAACAUUUGUGGAACUUUUUCUAUGCUGUUUUAGUGUUUAGCCCAGAAACAGUAUUGCUUGAUUUCUUUAGGAUUAGAAAGAAAUUUUCUCAAAAUACAUUGACUCAGUCCAUCACAGAGUUGAACAAAAUCAAACAAGAUUGGUCAGAUACAAGUUUUGCUUUGUUUAUGAAAAACCAAGAAUGCCAAAUGAAUCAUAUUGUUGUUGCAAGAAGAGCUAUUUCAACUAUUUGGGUUAAAACAAUUUCCUUUCGAGCACUAACCUUUAGUGGCAGCUAAUUACCACUACAUCUUUGAUGUUAUUGGCUUGAUGUGUAUUUGAUCGAAAUUGCACCACUGCAAUGAACUAUGUACUUCGGCCACGUACAUUUAGAUUUCACUUGUCUUGGGACAAUUAAUACUGAACGAGCUUUUUAUAAUAGCAUCUGUUCCUUCAAAUUCUCUUUUUCCUAGAUAGGAGAGCUUAAAAAACUGGUUGAAGAGGGUAAGAUAAAGUACAUAGGUCUGUCUGAGGCCUCAGCUUCAACAAUUAGAAGAGCACAUGCUGUUCAUCCUAUAACAGCUGUACAGCUCGAGUGGUCAUUGUGGACCAGAGAUGUGGAGGAAGAGAUUAUUCCUACUUGCAGGUAUGGGAGUUUUCUGCUUUACUAUCUUUAGGGUGUGCAAAGAAUAUGCUACUCUAACUCAUUUUUCUACAAUCUUUUAGAGAACUUGGCAUAGGAAUUGUGGCUUACAGUCCACUUGGACGAGGAUUUUUCUCAUCAGGUGCAAAGUUGAUGGAGAAUUUGGCUGAUGGUGACUUCCGAAAGGUUUGUGCACAUUCAUUAUGAUCAAGUGCAUUUUACUAUAGAAUGUCUAUGGUUAGUACGAGUCUGUCAUUUAUCUACUUAUAUCACAUUCACUAACUGUCUUGCUUGAUGUUCCUACCCUUUGUCUAUUUGCUGUACUUUCUGAACUUUUCAAAAUACAAUAGUUUGGUUAAACCUCCCUUAUGCAAUCAAAGUUAUUGAAAUUUCAACGGAAGAGAAGGACAAAGCAUGUCUUUUGACAUUGUUGUGCGUAUUCUACAUGCUAGCCUAAUUCAAAGGCACAUUACAAUUUUGUCAGCUUAUGAUAAUAGCUUAAGAGUACUCUUUGUUAACCAAAGGAACUUCCCUUGGUGAGGCUCAUUCAAAUCAAGAGUGAUUUUUUAAGGCAAAGGAGUUAGGCAACGAGCUGUAUCUUGUGGGCCAAGGUGAAGCCUCAAGGCAUAGGCAUAAGGACUUGCAUUUAUUAAAUUACUAUUAAAACUGGAGAUAUAACCUUUAAAAUACCUACCAAGUUAUAGUUGGAGGGUCUAAACAGGUUUUAGCACCAUUUCCCUUUCCUUAUUAGAUAAGCAUUUCAAAAGGAUCCACCAUCUCUCUGGGUGAAGGUGUAGUUCCUAUCAAUGUAUAUCCUUCAACCUUGUAAAGGCUUUAGGUCUAGUUCUGUAAGUGAUAGUACUGAUUGAAGUGCUAAUCUUCCAGAUGAUACAUUGGGAGCUAAAAAGCACAACAGUUAGCUCACUAACUUAUAAUCAGAUGACUGCAACUAAUGUCCAGGGAUCAUAGUUUGAGCCAUUUUCGCAUGUUGUAACUCUCACAAAUUUUCUAGCAAGAGCUUUGAAUUACGCAGCCAGCCUAAAUGCUUAUGGCAUGCAUAAUAGAUGACAUCCACACCCCCAAAUUGACUCCCAAAACAUAUUUAUGUCUUAAGGUAACAAGUCCGACUUUGGGUUAAAUGUAUGCCUGACAUAUAGUUGGCCUCACUGUCCCUAACUAGGAAAAAAGAAGAUACUUUGUUAACAGGUCUCCUUGCCAACAUUUGCCAAAGCUAAAAUCUUGAUUUGAUUUGCAUACUAUAAAACUGUGCUUCAACUUGUUUAACAUGUUUCUUUUCCAGUCCUCUUGUCCUGUGCAAUGCUAGAGUAAUCAGUGCUUAUAUAACACUUCUUAACUUGCUAACUUUUGACUUUUUCAUCAAUUCAUACUCGAUUAAUACAGACAGCUUGUUUCCUUUAUGGUAAGGUGCUUGACUUUCUUAAUAAGUAGCUUGAAGAAAGUUAAAGUCACUUUUAAGUAAAUGCUUGUUAAACUUACUAGGGCCUAUUCGCUCUGGCAAUACGUUCCAGAGUUGUGCCUCCUAUAGGUUCUGCAAUUAGAAAUAUACUAGAUGAAGUGUAGGAAAAUCUUAGAAGAGUGAGUCAUCUUUUUUAUGUUAAGCUGUAACUCAGUUAUGAUGAUUAACCUACAUGACUGGAUUAAUAUAUUUCUCAAGUAAUAUUGGUUUCUAUGUCUUGGUAUCUUUUCUACAUUCUGCAGUAGAUAUUGCUGACUUUGGAAUAAUGAGAGAACCUAGCCGAAUUCAUUUUUGUCUUAACUUGCACAGUCCCAUCAUUCCCCUGAAGCUAUGUAAGUUGAGUUUACCAAGCUGCAAAUUUGUCUGCUUUAUUCCCAUCUGAAAAUACUUGCAUAACUGUUUAUUGGUUUUUUUCCUUCUGAAAAUGCUUGCAUAACUGUUUAUUGAGAAAUUUUAAAUUUUAUGUGAUGCAGUUUUUGCCAAGAUUACAACCAGAAAAUGUUGAGCAUAACAAGAGCUUGUUUGAGCGCGUUAAUGACAUCGCUUCAAGGAAGGGUUGUACCCCAUCACAGCUAGCAUUGGCAUGGGUCCAUCACCAGGGAAGUGAUGUUUGCCCCAUACCUGGCACUACCAAGAUUGAGAACCUGAAAGAGAAUAUUGGAGCUUUAUCUGUAAAACUGUUAGCAGAGGAUCUUGCUGAGCUUGAAUGCCUUGCUUCAUCUGGAGUCAAGGGUGAUAGAUAUGGGUCCGGCACUGCCACUUGGCAAAAUUCUGAUACUCCACCUUUGUCAACAUGGAAGAGUGCAUGAAAACGACCUUUGUUGUGGUGAUAAUUCUUAUAACCAUCUGCCUGAUGGUCCAUUUUCAUUGCUUUGAGGGUUUAAUAGCUUUGUUCCAAUAAAAAGUUAAUCCUUGUGGUGACCACAGAUUCUGUAUUUGAUUAAAGAUUGGGUCGUGUGAAAAAACUGGUUGUUCUUGUACCAGGACAUGCUGAGUAUAUCUUUUGCAGCUCUUGAAUGAAUGGAUAUGAUGUUUUAUCCUUUGUAUUCUAUGUGUGUAUAUCUGUAUGGACCCCUUAUGUCGACCAUAUAGCUGCAAAAAUGAUGCCUGUGCUACCUGUAUGAAACCUGUGAAGGGCUCUAUGUUUAAUGAGUAAGAAGUCCAUUUACUAGACAAAAACAAUGACACAAAAUGUGACCAAUAAAAUUGGAAUAAAAUAGUGCAUAGAGAACUCGAAAUGUAAAUGCCAUAGAUGACAUCUGUAGACUUUAAACAAAUUGGAAAACAUCUGAAUCUCUCUCAUUUUCUAUGCACAGUCGUAUUCUUUUCAGAAGAAGUGCGGAUUCAAUUGAAUAUCAAUGGGAAUAAAAUUAGAGUCAUCAGAAUGGGAAAAAAGGCAAGAAAAGAAAAGGAAAUGAUCGUACUGAGCUGAUAUUGAAGUGUUUUCUUUUGGCUGUAAAUCCGUAAUUGCAAGCUCAUUGGAGCCAAGAACAGAGGAUGAUGAAUUCUUUGGUUCAGCAGGUAGAAGCCGAGUAAAAGAAGGUGAUUCUUUCACACUUCAGUAGUAGUGGGAAGCUUUGUACAGUAGAUGUUGCCACAGACACACCAUGAAGCUGUAAGCAGCCGCACACCAUACAAAAAGUCGUGACUUUUAUUUCUGAGUCCACAGUGGUAAGUGAUGAGGUGAUUUCCGAAUGGUUGGACCGAGUCAAUCUUGAAGAAGUGACUUUCGGCUGAAAGACCUAGUUGAAGGAAUUCACCUGUCAGAUCUGCAAUGUAUGGGGCUUUAUCCUCCGACCUUACUUCGACAAUUAAGUCAGUUCGGAUAUUCAAUCUCAAACUAAAAGUGGUUUAAGAACCUCAAGUAUGUGUGUUUGUGAGUCCAUACCUUUCCUACGGAUGGGAGGGUAUUUAUAGUGGACAGAACGGUGUGAAAAAUGAUGAAUUUUAAUUUCCAUGGAUCUGAGACUGACGGGGACAGUGUUAGGCUUAAUAGAUAGGACAUAUCAAUGAUCAUGCCAUUCUGUCAUAUCACUGUCAUGUCAUUCCAUCAUGUAGAAGUAAGCUUUUCUAGUGCGAUGUCAGGUGCUAGAAAGUGGAACGGUUCGGCUACCAUUGGAAGACUGAGGUCAGCUCCAUGGGAGAGGCAACGAGCCGAGGUGGCAUAGGCCCGAGAGGGUUAUCUUGACCAAUCACUUAACCGAGAAGGGCCGAAAUGACGGCCCUCAGUAAGUAUUAUCUAAUAAAGGAAAUUGGCAUUGAUAUAGUUGCAUAUGGUCCUCUCGGCAAAGUGUUGUUCAUAGUUGGUGCAAAGGUACUUGUGAACAUGACCAGCAAUUGCUUUACUAUUGUGGGGGUUUGUGCUUGAUAGGCUUGUACCUUUACAGUUAUACUGUGACAUAUAGAAGUAUUUUCAUAAAAAUGGUUGAGUUUCAUUUUUCGCUCCAUGCACGUUUUCAUAUAUUGACUUCAACAUUUUGUUUCUUUUUUCAUCUUCAUCAAUUCCAUGAAUUGUCAUUGGUCGAUAACAUGGUUUCUUCUGUUUGAGUUUUAUUAUCUUCAACAUUGUGUUCCCAGUUUUUCUUCUCAGUUUUCAUCAGUUCCAUUAAUCUUGUCACAGUUGAUAACAUGGUUUCUUCUAUUGAGUAGCAUAUGCUAUCUGACUGCAGUAAAUUCUCUUAGGACGGUUGACCACACAAAAGAAAAGAUUCCUGCCCAGGCUCCCUAAUAGAAUGUUUAAUCGAUCCAUUGCAGAUCGACCGAAUUGGUGCAGAAGUUGUAAAACUUUCUACUGCACAUUCCAAGGGUGGUGCACUAAAUCAAAUAAACAAGUGGAAAACAAACAUACAUAAUUGACUAUCCGUAAUAGUGAAAAAAAUGCAGGUUUCAUUUAAGAGUGGAGAUAUUUGAUGAUAGUGUAGAGGCUAUCAUUGCUGUCUUUGAAGAACAAGCAGAAUUGCUGAUUGGUUGUAAAGCAUCUGAAUCCAUACAAAUCUGUAAGCGACCAAGUACAGUCCAAGGCAAAGCAAGUAAUUUUAGUUACACACAAUGUAUGAUUUAAAUCAUAACUGCUUACAUAUCUUUAAAACAUUCAAUUCAGGGAAGAGACAAUACAGCUUAAUACAAAACUAUGAUGGCUUCGAAGUUCGAGAUUUCUCGAUCAGACCAAAACAGAUAACAGGAGAUGCAGCUGGAAAGAUGUCACCGAUAGCGAAUGCAUUGCAGAAAAUUGAAGAAAUCACCAAAAUAGAGCUGUCUGUUAAAAGAUGUUGAUGACAAGGAAGCUUUCACGUCCAGUGAUCCAACAAAUCCAAUCACUAUUGAAGAUGAUGACAACCCACUGGUUGACUUCAAGAAAAGCAGUCCUGGAAAAUGGGAAGUAUGACUGUUGGACCUAAGGGACUCAAAAAUGUCAAGGUAGAUACAAUGCUACAUGUUUAAGUUUCUUUGCUUUCAGUUCUAUUUUCCAUUUGCUGAGUGCUUCUAAGUUUGAUUCCACAAAAACACAAAAGGUUUAACUCCUUUGAUAUUGUGCAUGCUUACUUUUCACAACGCUAAAUUCAUAGCUCUUCAACUUUUGGCAAAGUAAAAUUAAAACCCUUCCUUGCAAUUCAACAUGCAACGCACAUUCUCAAUUACUAGUACUACCAAUGAUCCUACAUGCAGCUGCACUUGUUCUCUUCUAAUUUAAUGUCCAAUUGCCAACGAACUUCUCGAGCAAAUCUGGCUUAACAAACAAACACGAAGCAAGCGUGAUUUGCUGCCCUCAAUUCUCAUGCUCUGUUGCAAAAUUAGACUUUUCUGUUGAUAGAAUUCAAGUAGGCAUAGUAAAUAAGAAAAGAAGUUUAGUAUGUUUGGACAAGAGUUUAUUUGAAAUGAUUAUUGUAACACACACUUUUUGUGACGUGAUAUAUGUGAGAUAAAAAAAUUGUUAGAAAAAUAAAAAUGUGUUAUGUAAGCAAAUAAUUUCCAUGCAAAUAAUGGCUAUCCAAACACAAUGUUUGCAUUAAAAAUGUUAUACUUUUCUUUUUUAUCUUUUCCAAAAUUUCGGUCACUUUUCAAAUAAAAAAGUAAAGUGAUUUGUUUUGUUUUUUCUGAUUUUACCCUCAAGAGACAAGCCUAAAUUUUGUGGUUGUGUGGCCAAGAAAUGACAAUCAAAUCAAGAGUUGGGUAAGCACAUUGCAGGUAGCAACCGUCCAAAAACGGCCACGAUUUGUUAAAAAAAAAAAAAAUGUAUCGCUCAAAUUACAGCUUGUAUGUCAAAUUUAAUAUUGUGUGUGGGAUCUAAAAAUUCUGUUCUAUUUUUACGAAUUGUUUCGGCCUAAACAAUUUUUUUACAACCGUUUUGGACCUUGGUAGUUGGUCCAUCAAAUCAUAUGUCUACAUUCUAAUUGCACGGAUGAAAUAAACAUAAGGCGUCAAAACAGCAAAUACAUCCCUUUGGAUUGCUAAUGCCAACAUCGGCAAGUUUAAUUUCUGUACGUGGCGUCCUGAAAAGUUUUGGGUUAGACUUUCACCCUUAAGUAAGAGUCGGACUUUACGGUACUUUCCGGAUCAAAUCUAAAUUAGUUUCACUAAAGGGUGGAAACACUAGAUACUCAAAGCAACUCCCAAGUAAGAGUCAGAUUCUGCAAGGGCUCUCCAGUCGAAUCCGGAUUAGUCUCGUUAAACGUGAAAAUACUGGAUGCUCAGAGGAAAAAAAAAAAUUACGUCCCUUCGGGGACAUCCGAUAAAAGUCAAAUCAGCAGAUACGUUAGUGUCUUACUUGCCUAAAUUUUUGGCUUGGACAUUUUGAACACCUCUUGUCAUUGUGGGUCCAUCAAGAGCCCCUACUCAUAGUAUCUUUUUUUUUUGGGGUCAAAACCCUACUUAUAGAAUCAAAAUUAGGAUAAUUUCACACCAUGUGGAAACACUUCGGGUAAAAAGUACAAGUCCUACGAAAUUUUUUUGGAAUAGAAGGAGUACAAAUUUAGGGGUGAAGGGUGGAAAUAGUCUUGGAAAUCUUGAAGCAAAGUAUAAAGAGAUCAAGUAUUUAAAAACUAUCAUGCAAGCAAACAAUCAAGCGAAUUUAGUAAAAGCCAGUUGAAAAGAAUCAAUAGUAAAACAAGAGCUCCUGAAAAAUAAUUUAGCCUUAAGUAUGUUGGUAAAAGUCACAAGCGCAAAAAAUAGUUAGAUGCAUUUAAACUCUAUAAUAGUUAUUAUUCACACUCCUUUCCUUUCUAACCAUUUUUCACUUAUGAAACGAUAAAUUUAAUAAAAAGAAAAAAAUAGUGAGAAGAGUGUAAAUAAUAAUUUUGGGAGUGCCAUUAAUGUUUUUCUUCUGCAUGAGGUGAAAUAUCAGUAACGAGACAAGAUUUGAAAGGUUUUGAUUUUCAAACCUCUAAGCGUCCAUUGCAGUUUUAUAAGAUGUCUUAGCCAAAAAAUAAAGGAAAAAGAAACAUAAAAAAAAAAAACACGAUAAUUAGUCACGUGUAGGCCUCCUUGGGUUAGAGUCGUCAACUUUAAGAUUCGUUUGGAAUUGCGGUAGGUUAUUAAAAAAUAGUUUUUUAAUAUAGCUUUUAAUAAAAGUAUUUAUUAGACGUUUGGAGACAUAGUUCAAUAAGUGCUUAUUGUAUUGGAUAAUAUGUAAUUUGAAAAUUUUUAAAUGUAUUUAUCUCUUUAUUUAGUUUAUAAUAUAUGAUAAAAUGAUAAAAUUUAAUAUUUUAUUUUUUAAAUUGCAAAAACUACUCUAAAAAUAUCAAAUUUGAAUUUUUAAUAAAAGUGUUUUUCACACCAAAAAUUCUAUUUCUAAUUUCAUGGGAUGAUAUUCAUAAAUAUUUUUAAAGUACUUUUGACACCUAAAAUAUUUUUUUAUUAGAAAAAAACCGCAACCUUGAAUGGGACCUUUGUUGUGUUGAAGAUGAUGUGGCAAAACUCUAAAGUCACCCGAAAAAGUUCGCCACGGUACCAUAACAUAGAAAAUGAAAGCAAAAUGACAAAAAAAAAAAAAAAAGAAAAGAAAAGAAAUUGCUGACCUUUGCGCUUACAGCAUCCAAGUCCCAAUCAAAUGAACCAUAAAUUAUCCCAUGGAUUUUGUCUUGUCCCUUUUUUUGUUAUAAAAAGAGAAUUUCAUUAACUGAUUACUGAAAAUCGUAUAGCAUGAUUUGAUUUACAUCAUUGAUGAUAGGUUAAACAUACAUUACAAAUUAUAAAUGUGCAAAAUUUAAUAAAUGCAAAAAAUUAUGAAAAGAUAAAAAAUACAAAAAAAUUUAAAAUUAUCUUCUAAGAAAAUAAACAGUUGCAACUCCCUUCUAUGUUAUUGGCUUAUUGCAAUCGCCAGAUUUUAUCUUGUCUUAGUUACUGGUUGAGAAAUACAUACAAAUCGCACACAAAACAGUCACUUCCUAUUUCCUAUUACAAUUAAAGAAAGAUGCUACUGAAAUGCGUUAAAAAAAAGUACUGAAAUUGACGUAAAGUUGUUGGGUGAGAGAGUAAGGCUGUUUUGAUAAUAAACUACCUACAAAUCCAGUCAGUAGUAUUGAAGUCGGUAAUAGUAUAGGUUUAUUUAUUUAUUUAUUUUUUCACAAUUGUCCCAUGACCUAGAACUCAAAAAUUAUAAUAAAAAAUUACGGGAGAUGAACUUCAUCGAACCAAUGUAGAAGGGGAGACAAUUUACACAUAUAGAAUAUGUGUGAGAGAAGAGCAAUAAUACCAAUAAUAAUGUAUUAAUUAUACACCAUAAUAACAAGGCUAUCAAAUUUCACUUUUCUCAACUGAUGACAAUAAUAAGAUUUCUUAUUUAUAGGCUAAAUAAUUUAGUAAACAAGUUUUACAACUAUAAGAAAUUUUCUAAUAAAAUAUUAAUUCCUAAACAAUAAAACUACUAUAACUUGAUUUAGAAUUACUAAAAUUUUAACUUCACUAACCACCGCUAAAUAACAAUAUAGAACCUUCUAUUUUUUUUUAGGGUUGAUUUAGUAUGCCGACAUUGUUUUCCUUAAGUCAAUCUCUCCCAAUUCUAGUUCAACACAAUCAUGAAUAAUAAUCUCUUUUGCAAAUUCUACAAACGUCAAUUUGAAUUAUUCAUCUUCAAGAUUUCGUUGUUGCAAUAUUCCACGCACCUGAACAAAUUUAUCUCGUUGCACAAUUUUCUUUUGACUCGCUAAAAUAAUUCACACUUUUUGGAUAGAUUGUUUUCGUCGCACAAUUUGAUGCCAAUUUAUUGACAACUCAUUUCGUCACAAUUCAAUAAACAGGAUUCUUUUCCGAACUCCAUCUUCACAUAGUCAAUUUGACAAUUUGGAUCUAAUCUUCACCAACUAGAUACUCCACGACCAGCCUUAUGGUCCAACUCAAGCAAUUGACUUAUUCAUAGCAACUAUUAUGCUCUAACUCUGAGAGAAGAAAACACUCAGGACUAAUCUCAUAGCUGGGACAAUUUUUCAAUAUCUACAGGCAUCUCAAGAUCAAUUUAUUGAAUCUAGAAUUCUAAUACCAGAUAUAAAACUCAAAUAUUAUAAUAAAAAACUACGAGAUAUAAAUUUCAUCGAACCAAUGUAGAUAAGGGGGUAAUUUACACACAUAAAAUAUGUGUGGGUGAAGAGGAAUAAUACCAAUAGUAAUAUAUUAAUCAUACACCAAAAUAAUAAUAAUAACACUAUCAAAUUUUACUCUUCUCAACUGACAACAAUAAUAAGACUCUCUAUUUAUAAACUAAAUGACUUGAUAAUCAAGUCUUAAAAGUUUUAAAAUCAUAAGAAAAUUUCUAAUAAAAUACUAAUUUUUAAACAAUAAAACUAUCAUCAUUUGAUUCUAAUAGAAUUACUAAAAUAUUAACUUGACCAAAACAUGGUUAAAUAAUAAUAUAGAACUUUGUGUGUUUGGAUUGCAAUUUUCUGGAAUUUUUUUGUAAAAAACGUAUUGUGAUUUGAUAUAUAUAAGGAAAAAAGGUGAUUGAAAAAUAUAUUCACGGAAAAUGUAAAGUUUUUUUUUUUUAUAAAAAAAUCCCUGUCCAAACAAGGAGGCUUGAUUUAGCAUGUGAACAUCCCUUAAUGCACGUGUUGAGGCAUCAAGAAAGUAUUUAUACUAAAUGGAGAAUCACUGUUCACAGGAAUAGGAAUGGCAACGGGGAGUGUUUAGGGCUAGGGAGGGCGGGGGCCUGCCCUCCCCUGCCCCAUUGCCCACUACUUCCCCCCGCUCCCCCCGGUCCCUUGCCCCUCGCUCCCCCACCCCGCCCCACUUUCUCUGUGGGAUUAAUAAAAAUUUAGCAUAUAAUUUUUAAUCAAAAUUUAGCAAAUAAUUAAGUACUAAAAUAUCAACACAUCACCAAAUCAUUAUUCAUUGUAAUUUUACAAUUGAAAUCCAUAAAAACAAUCAAACAAAAAUUAUUUGAAUACAAUCUAACAUGAUAAAGUAAAUACAAUUAAAGUAGUCAAAAUUUUCACUUUUCUAAUAAAUACAAUCACUAAGUCAUUAUUGUAUUUUUUGAGAAAAAAAAUAUUAUUGUGUUAAGUGUAAUUAGAAAUUUAGUAUAAAUAUAUUAAUAAAUUGAAUAUAACUAAUUAAUAAUUUCUAUUAAUAGAUAUGUAUAAUUAUUAAUAUAAUUGAUAAUAUUAAUUAUAUUACAUAUACUAAUAUACAUUAUAUAGUAUUUAUAAUUAAUAAUAUCAUUAUUAUCAAUUUGUAACUACUUAAAUUAUAUAUUAUAUAUACACAUAUAAAUAUAUAUAUUUUGUAGGUGGCAGGGUGGGUAAUGGAGCAGGGGUAUAUUCCCCUGCCGCCGCCCUGUUUCUUAACGGGGAAAAAAAUUCCCCCGAGUCUACCCCACCCCCGUUCCAACCCUUUUUCAUUAGCCCCGCACGGAUAUCUACCCUAAUUCUCAUUCCUACGUAGGAAUUGCGCCUAUAGGCUGAUUUUGCGUGAUUCCAUAGCUCAACGCCAUCUAAUUAUAACACUGGUGUGUUCAUAGGAAGGUAUGCAAAUUUGCCGAUUUUACUGGAUUCUACAACUCAAUGUCAUUGAUUAUCCUAAUGUGUUCAUUGAAAGGUGCGUUCUGAAGAAGUAGCUUUUGACCAGAUGAGCUGCUCCAGAUAUCGAGAGCGUCGCCGGAUUGGUGGAGUAGCUAAUCAAGGAUCACCUGCUUGAAUUGUCAGAGGCGGGGCUGAGUCCCCCGGUCUUCCUCCGAAGAUUAAGUUAGCUUAGUGGUAUACUAAUAUGGGAGUAGUUUUAGAGAGAUAAAGAGUAGACUCUUUCCUUUACCCAAGAUUCGUUCCCUUUCUCAGUGGGAUGUUCGGCUAUUUAUAGGAGACAGUUUGGACGGUGGGGUCCAGGUCCCUAGAAGACUGAUAGAGACAGCAUAUCACCUUGAUGUGAUCAAUCUGUACAGAGAGCAGGGUGUCAGAACAAUGCGCAGUGUCAGGGGUCACAUCCACGACUGUCACACCUCGGUUAGUGUGAGUCAUAGGACUGGAUUGAGGUGAUAGCGAGGUGACGAAGUCACCUCGGUCAUCAGGAUGUUAGCCGAGAUAGUUACGACGGGGGAAUGAUCAUUCCGAACUGGGGUACCCUACAGCUUCCCCGAGGCGGAAUGGCCAUCCUCAAUAAGCCCCCCAAACCUCGGUAGGGUAUCAGUUGCUGGUAGCUUGCCGAGGCUUUUGCAGGGAAAUGACGAGAAAGCCCCUGGAUGCUAUAAUGAUAACGCGCAAAAUACGAAGAGUCAGGAGAAUGAUGGGACAACUGUCUGACAAAUUAAUGAAACGUGAAUUGACAUAGGUCAGGAAGAUGGAGGGUUAGGCAACUGUCGGUCAAAAUGGCGGGAGCUAAUAAAUGAGAGAACGCGCCUUCCUGUGUAAGUUCAACGUACAGGCCUUCGGUUUUCCUCCCCCUUUUAUAAAUAAGGGGUCCUCUUGUCACUUUCCACCCUUCUUCGCUUUUUACUUCUUACCAUUUGCCCAUGUGAACAGCUUCCCGACUUGGCGCUACAGCAGAAAACUCAAAUCUUCUUAGAAACAAUAAGUUCGUCUCUUUUCCUUAGCUAAUGGCACGCACAGCCCGUACUC